AGAAAUAUAAAUACAAAAAAAAGUAAAGAAAUAACACUGAAGUUGCACCAAACACUCAAUUGUAAUCUUUGAUUCUUUAUUAUCAGGUAGCAUUCUGCACUUGGAAAUUUGAUAACAGUAGCUUAAUUACCAAGUUCAUCAGUAAUAGAAAACAAACUACUUACAGUAGACAUUAAAUCAUACAUAAUAGUAUUCAAUGGUCACACAAGCAAGAAAUUAAACACAAGAGAGACAGAGGAGAUACACAGCAUCAAUCAAAUCUUAAACCAAAUAAACAAACGAAGUUAUUAAUCCGAAAUUCAAUUCGACUCAAUCCGAUCAUUUAUACGACUUGGGCGCCUUCGGAGCAGCGGUCAGAGUACGAGCGAACUUGUUCUUGACGUGACUUAUGUAGUCAGUGAACUUAUAAUCCGACGAAGUCGUAUUGUGCUUGUUUCGAUUCUGGUUCCGCUGCUCUCCUCCACCACCACCACCAACGGUGGAGAAUGUCCUUAGCUUCUUCCUCACGCGCCCAAUGUACGCGCCGAAGCUGUCCUCAAUGUGCACCCCUGACUUCUGGUGGUCGUCGUGGUUGUUAUAAUCCGACGGCCCAAAUGCUACACCAUGAUGAUGAUGAGGAUGAUGAUUCUCUUGUUGAUGCUGUGUUGGUGGUGGUGGUUGCGGUGGUUUGGAUUGGAUCUCAAUCACCCUUAUGGAAGGCUUCUCCACCGCGGCCGAUGGAGCUGAAGAUCGGCGGGGGGGGGGGGGGGGGGGGGGGGUGGUUGCUGGGCGUUGUGGUGGUGUUGGUGAUGCGGCGGGGACUGGUGGCGAAUGCUUGGUGGAUCUUCUUGCAGACGUGGUUCAGUGGGCAGCCGGCCUUUGAGUUGCAAUUGGUGCAUUCCAUGGUUUGGGAUAAAUUAGUUUAAUUUUUGGGAGAAAAAUUAAUGGUGGGUGAUGAGUUUGAGGAAAUUGAUUUGAAGGGUUGUUGUGUAAUUUAUAGGAUUUGCUUUGGAUGCUAAGUUAGUAUUAGAUUUUGUUGAAAUUUGGUGAUCUAAUUUUGUUUUGUGUUAAAAAAGGUUGGAUUGAUUUAAAUAGAGUUGUUUUGGACGUGGUAAAGUUGUGUGUUGAUGAUUUCGAAUUAUCAGAGUUUGAAUCUAGUUAAUUAAUGUUUAUUUUAUGCUUCUUAUUUUGUACUAAUUGUAGGGCUAGUCUUUGUUGAUAAACGUUGUAUCCCAAUAACCCGAAUUGUUGGGGUAGGAUUUUUAUUGAUGUUUAUAUUAUUCGUACUAACACGCCCCCUCAAACGGAAGCUCUCGUAAGAUCGUUGAGAUUAAUAAGUCAUGUACACGGAUUGGCGGCUAACGAGAUUCGAAACGGAAACCGCUCGGUUAUCAUAUAAGGCUAUGAGACAAUGUACGAAAAACAAGAUAAAAGAAAGAACACGAGAAUUUAACAUGGUAUCCGACCUCGAGAUCGAUUAAUCCACGGAGCACAACACGAGAAAAUUGUAUUAGUCUCGACAAAAAAAGAGGUCGAGAAUAACCAAUCAUAUUUUUUUAUAACUUUCAUUGUACUGUCCGUUUUCACAUAUUAUGAUUACAUUUUGUUUAGUCGUACAAAAAAUCGUGAAAUCAUUGUAAAUCCAUAUGACUUCUACUCUUUUAUUAUAGUGCAACUUUCGUCGUUGUCGUGCUCAUAGUGUUGUCCUGUAAAUAUUUUUCACAUAAAAUUUAUAUGUUGUCUCUUUCAAAAACGGGUUGGGAUAACCAAUCAUAUUUUGUAUAAUUUUCAUUGUACUAUCCAUUUUCACCAAUUAUCUCGUACGGAAAAUCGCAGAAUUAUUAUAAAUCCAUACAAGUUGUACGUACUCUCUUAUUAUAAUGGAGUUUGUGUCGUGGUCAUGCUCGCAGUGUUGUCCCGUAAGGAUUUUCCACAUAAAAUCGACGUGUGGUCUCUUUCAAUCUAUCGUUUAUCUAUGUUAUUGCAUGUCGAUUUUCGGCGGAUAUUUCGAGUUUAUGGAUGGGUGAUAAAGGGAAAUGUGCGAGAGAUAGGAGAGGGUGGGGAUCGAAUGCUAGUUGUUGUUUGGACGAUUUCAACUGGAAAAGGGAAGCAGGUGGCAUAAUCCGCAAUGGAAUCGGAUUCAUCUGGGACUUAGCUUGGGGUUUUAAAAUGGGUUUUAAUUUGGAGUGAUCCCUUUGCCUUUUUCUUCUACUUUUUUGACAUUUCUGCUCUUCUGCCAGUCUUUAAAUACUCAAAAUUAUGCAGGCGAAUUGAUUGAGUAAGAAUCAAUUAGGAGAAGAAGUUUCCAUUUAUUUUGAAAUUAAGGACCUAAUGGGUUUGAAAGCUAUUUUCCUUUCUUGUUGCUUGUUCAUGUAAUAAUGCUGUUGGCCACCACACAAUUUUGUGUAGAAUGAGUCAUACAAGAAUCACUUUGCAUAUAAAAUAGCCAAUGUUGUUGUUUGGGUGUAAUGAGUUGAUUAUUAACAUUAUAUCGAUACUUAAAUCGUGUGUGACUGAUUAACCCAACUCCAAACCACUGUUCGUUCUAAGGUGCAUGGGCUGCGACACAUUACAGGGUACGCACCAGACUCAUUAGGGCUUUGUACCGGUUGGUUCUAUAUGCCUCUUGUACACCUCUCAAUAUAACUACUAGCGAUGUAUAAAUCGUUCCGGAAUAAAGUUUUUGCACUGUAAAGUUUGUGUUGCAUGUGGAAUUUUGUACAAUUAUCCUGCAGAGUUGAUUCCCACGUUUUAUGCCUUUCUGGUGAGACACGCUACGUAGGAACGAACGAACACCCAGAUUCCACAGUUAGCUCAAGUCCCAUGAUCUUGCCUAAAAAGUGAUUUCCUUUUCAAGAAGAAGAAGAAGAAAAACAGAAGCAGAGAGACGAACUGUGGCAUUGAGCAUCCCAAUGAUGAGAAUCAGUUUGGAACUGUUGAGCCCAAGCGUAGGCUCUCCUUUGGCUGUAAGUGUCCUGCUAUCAUCCACUCACUCACUCGCCUUUUUCUAACAUUGGGAACAAUCAUUCAACUUUCAGGGAUUACUUAAUUAAUGGGCUUAAUCUUCAGCACUUCUCUGAACCAGAAAGUUCAAAUAUGUUGCUUCUGGAUUAUGUUAAAGAGUUUCAAAUAUUAUGCUCACGCAGCUGUAACAAUUACACCUUGCAUGGUACCGGGAACAAGUGGGCUGUAUGAAAAAUGCGGAAAUGGGCUUGAAAGUGUAGUUGAUUUGGACCAACUAACAAUGGGCCCAACAACUAUUGAUGACCAUAUAAGUUUCACACCGAGUUAUAGACAAUGUGCCGGGUAUAAGUAUUUAGCCCUCGUUUGGUAUGCAGUAAUGAAGAGUGGGAGAAAAGUAGAAAAAGGGAAUUGAGUAAUCAGAGAUUGUGUAAUUCUAAUUAUAUUGUUUGGUGACAAGGUUUGCAAUUGAAAUAUAAUUUUCAGUUUGUUAGGGAUUUAUUGUGCAAUGACCAUGAUGCCCUUAUUUGAAAUCCAAUUUCAAGACCCAUCAUCUUCUAGUUAGCAAAAAUUCGUUUAAUACUCGUAUAAUACACAUAUACAUACUAUAUGCGUUUAGAACUUCCGUUCUCGUACUAUUGUAGAGCCGUUUAAUUUUAAACUUUUAAUAUUUUCUAAUUGUUGCCUAAAUUUAAACGUAUUACAAUGUAUGAAACUCUGAACGUAUUAAUAUUGUACCAUACUCGUCCCGUAUUUUAAUAACUAUAAAUGAGAACAAAUCCGAUACCCACCACUAUUUAUAUUUCAUAGGGAAGAAGAACUAAUAUUUGUACAUAUCUACAACCAUAUAUUAUAAUAUGUCAUGGCUAAUCAUAUAAUUUUUCCAAGUAUGCAUUACAUAAUUGCAAUAAUAUAUUACAUGUUUUGGCUAAUCAAACCAAUACCUCACUUUUAUUCUUCACCUCGGUUGUUAUAGUCGUUUUGAUAAAACCCUCCUAAUUUUCUCUAUACCAAACGAGGCCUUAACUAUUAUAAAAUCUCCGUGUAGAACUUUGAUUUCAGAUAAAUAUUCUUUUUCCCAAGAUAGAAGACGGGAAAUAAAUUGGUGUUCAUUUCGUGGGGAAUAUUGGAUUUGAAUCCGGGACUUUUGGGUAACCAGACACACGCUUCACCACUAGAAUAAUUUCACUUGGGUUUAGAUAUUUUAUAUAGUAUUUCAUCGAUUUGGGAUCGAACAACUAUAAAUAGUGUUCCGUUAUUCGUUGAUACCCAUGUCAUCAUAGUUGAAUUGGAGUAGAAAAAUAUUUGUGGAUGAAAACUUAGAUAAAAUGAUACAAGGAUUCCAAUUGGAAUUAUGUUUCUCAAUCUACUCAAGGAGAAAAUCAAUUUCCCUAAAAAUCCAUUAUAUCAUUUGAUUUCACAUUGAUUGAUUGACAUGGUCUGUCUCAAAAAACAACCCCAUAAACUAGUAAAACUCAGCUCGGUGUCGAAUCAAGUUGAUCAAAGGCUCGAAUCGCUAUGAAAAUCGAACACUUUGUAUGUUAUAAGUAGACAUGUCAAGUAUCAAGUAUGGCAAAUAGAAGUCGAUAGCAAAGACAUUUAAUGUCACGGAUCAUGAUAACUUUCUCGAUCAAUGACUUUGAAGUACUAUAAAUAAUAAACUGACGGCAUUUUUGCUCAAUAGUGCAAAGACAAUGAAAAGGUAAGGACUUUUCCAAUUCAUGACACAGAAAACAUUACAUGUAGUUAGCACUUAGCAACAGUACUAGUUGAAGGAUUACGGGUGAAGUUGUUCUUGACAUGGCUGAUCUAAUCCGAGAACUCGUCUCUCCCGCCAUCCGCUGACAUCAAUGAUGCUGAGCUAUUAUGCUUAUUAUUCAAGGUGGAAAAUGUCCUAAGCUUCUUCUUGGCCUGAAAAUCGGUUAAUUCGGUUAUUAACCGUUGGUUAACGGUGGGGAAAGCGUUUUGUUGACUGAAAUUGAUUAACCGAAUUAACCGAUCGAGCGGAGCUCACGGUUAAUCUGACUGACCAAUAACCGACCAGUCGGUUAAAUGACCGAAUUUAAACGACCGAAUCACCGGUUAACCGAAUAAAUUAUCAAUUAACCGACCUCCUUGAGGAGAAAAUUUGAUUUUUUCUUAUUAUCGGUUAACUCGAGUUAACCUACAGUUUUAACCGAUUAACCGUUUACCCGACUCCAACAAUGACUCUUAACCAUUCAGCGACCGCCGUCGACCUCGGUUAAACCGAUUUUCUAACCGAGUCGGUCGGUUAAUAACCGAGACCGAUUUUCCAGCCUUAUUCUUCACCCUCCCAAUGUAGUCCCCAAACUUCUCCUCCACAUGGACCCAGACGACUUCACCAUCAUCGUCGUCUCCUCCGGUUUGAACGACACAACUCGAUUGUUCUUUUCCUCUAACGGGUGUGGUUUUUUAGCAAUUACCACUCCUGUUGUGGUGCCUGCAGUCCUUGACUGGACCGCAGCCACCACAAUCGGGGUAGUAGGGGGAAGGCGAGUGUUGUCAUUGUUAGUGGCGAUGGGGGUGGGGCCGAUUCGAGCCGAGGUAGCAGUAGGACCAGCAACUACUGCCUUCUUGCAGAGCUUUUGACAAAUGUGAUUCAGAGGGCACCCGUUUUUCUUGCUGAUGCUUUCCAUUUGGGAGCCAGUGAGGGUUUGCUUGCUUUGUGAAGGAUAUGGAUAACACUAUAUAAAAGUUACUGAAAAGGAAGCAAGAAAUAUGUUCUUUUGCCUUCUUGUUUGAUGGGAUUGGGGGAUCACAUUCUAACUUUUGAAGAUUUCAACCCACCAGUUUGGUAUCGGCUUCAUCCAUUCAUUUCCGUCUUGGUGAGUACUUAGGGUUCACAAAUUUUUCCAAUGGAUAUUCCACAUUGAUCGAUCUCACGGUUUAAUUGGCACGAGCAGUCUUUCAGAGGAAGUGGGAUGUCACAGAGUCUGGUAGAAUGUUCUUCAUAACCAACAUUUGUUUAAGGUCAUUUACGUUGAAGAAUGUGAUAGUUCAUGAGUUCGUUUUUUAACCAUGAAGUGGAGCAAUACUUGCAUCCUAAUCUGAAAUUUUGAGUUCUUAUGUCACAUCGUACACAAAUAUACGUAAAUAAAUGCUUGAACCAACCAUGUGUUAAUCGACUGAAGUUUCCUAUUUCUCAUUAAAAUGUGGAUGAACUUUCCCACAUGUCUAACCUAACAACUACUAACUUCUAGGAGACGUACACCUAUACAACGAAUGAACUAAUCGGCAUCCUUUACAAAAACAAGCCUAUACAAUGCCAAUUCUACGCAAAUCCAUCUCCACAUCCCCUAUAUGAACACAUCUAAAAGACUAUGUAGGAUUCAUGAAUGAAUUAUGGUUAGAAUCCGCUUCAAGAUGGCAUCAAAAUGCAUUGUUUCACCUUCGAGACUGCCGGAUCCCUCUUCGUAGUCUUCGCAGGCUCUUGCUCAAAAUUUACAAUUCGAAGUUGUAACAAGGUAGCAUUUGGCUAUUCGAGAUUGAGUUCCCGAGUUCUGUCAGCACUGCACAAUAAAAUACAAAAUGCCUCCAUCAGCCUUUUAUGUGCAAAAAGAAGGUGCCUUUUCAGAUGUAAUUACAUGGUUCAAUGCAAAAACAUGCCGACAGAUUACAGAUUUUCAUCUUCAAACAAGUCAUUAGCAUGCAUGAUCAAUUCAUCAAGGCAACUUGGAAAAUCACUACCACCAACUCUGAGUUACUAAAUUCUUUAUAUAACAAUUCUAAAGUUAGUUCCCUUUCCCCGCAGAUAUGAACGCUUGCUCAGAACUCAGAUUUUUGGCAUCUAUGUUAAAAUCACCCUACCUACAACUCAAAAGCUUGAACAAUAAAAAAACAUCAUGACACCAUUAUAACUAUCCAGAGAACUGUUCUACCUGUUAAUUCCAAAUUCAGGAGACUGACUGCAAGAAGAACGUACCAUUCUCCUGGUGUUCUCGUCUGACAUAUCCGAUGAUGCAUUGUAGCUGCAGCUAGAAGAGGGCAAAGGAGGAGGACAAUCUUUGUUUAUAGCACGGCGCACCAACCCACAACGAUAUUGUGCACCGUUCCAAGAGCUACUACCCUCAGCGUCCUCUUUACCAGGUGAAUGAAGCCAAUGCAUUGAAGCCUUGACAGGGAAUGCAGAUGGUGAAAGAUCACCAGAAUAAUGAUCAUCAAUGUCAAACGUAUCGACAACUAUAUCUUCCCCAACAACAAGUAAGCCCCUAGGCCUACACUUCUUCUUGUCUGGGGUUCCAGACAAAAGAUGGCCAGCACCAUAGCAAACAGGUGUAGUGGUUACACUCUUUGAAGAAGAUGGACACUGUUGUUGUAUCUCCUCAGGAGAUACUGUGCUAUGAAGCGGAGGAGUUUUCGUGUCAAUGCUGCUACUCUCUGAAUUACCACUCUUCAAGCUACUGCUACUAUCUUUACAUUUCCCUUCAUCCCCAAUGGCUGUAACAUUCAAACCAGACCACACAUCUCCAGUACGAGUUCUUAAAGGAGUGGAAUUCAAAUCAGACCGAGCUUUUCGAUUACUAUCAAACUCCCCCACAUCUCCAGAUCCAGACUUUAGCCUACUUAUAUUACUGCCAUUCUUGCCUUUCCCUUCAACGACUGCAACAUUCAAACUAGAUGACACACCUCCAGUUGUUAUUAAAGGAGUCGAAUUCGGAUUAGACCGAGCACGAUUCGAAUCAGACUUCAGGCUACUUACAUCAUGAGUACCCACUGAUCUCAACGGGGAAACCCUAGAACUGGGUUUGGCAGCAGUUGGGUUCGACUUAUUAGGGGUUUUAGCAGAGGAAAUGGGCUUGUUGAGCUUUACGAAAGGUGGUAUGUGCUUCUGAUUGUUAUUAUUGUUCUUCCGCCUGCUACUACUACGAUCAUUGGAAGUGGGUUUUGCAGAGUGAUUGAGAUAGAACCUGAGACAUCCUCGAGGGCAGCAUUUGCUGAGAUCUUGAAAUGGACUGCGGAUUUCCUCCUCCUCCUCCUCCUGUGUUUGCUUCCUCUGUUUCUGCUUCGACUUGGUCGGGUUUAAGAAAGUUUGUUUCUUUUCUCCCCGCUGGCCGGAAGUUGAUCGGAACAAUGACUGCUUCAUUUGAUUUAGCAGAAAGAGAACUAAUUUGUUCUUUUCAUUCUUUGAACGAACAGGAGAAAAGGACAAAAUUGUAAGCGCAGAGUGGCAGAGUUCUCAAGUAUAUAUUUGGACCUUUAGAUUGAAAUUCAGGGACCAUUAGAUUAGAUUUUUCAAAUUUCGGGACCAUUCUGUAGCGUUUUUGAAGUUUCAGUAUCAGUUUGUAAUCCAGUCCCAAACUUUCAGAGUAUUUGAAGUUUCAAACUUCCAUAGUUUUUAAAGUUUCAGUAACACCUGAACUCAAGUCAAAAUCAUCGUCCUCCUCCUUGUUGUUGUAGAUAUGGAAGAACCAGGUCAUCCGCACCCCUAUGUACCGAGGGAUUUGAAACUCCCGGGUUUCGUCCCUCCAUUUCUGUCUCAGUCCGCUAUCCUCGGAAUCUUCGGCGCCGUCUCUCUUCUCGUCGUCUCAAUCGUCUGGCUUUUCUCUGGUUUGCUUCUUCCCUUCUCCCUUGUCCAAUCUGUUUGCAAUGUUGUUAAGAUUUCAUCUUUAUCAACUCCGCAUUACUUGACUUAAUUCGUUACUCUUACACUGAAGUUGUACAAAGUUCUGUAACUCCAGAGUCAUGAAUGAACUGAAACAGGCAUCUCCCGCAAGAAAAUUGGUAAACUUGACAGACUGCUAAUGUGCUGGUGGGCUUUCACUGGUCUCACCCACUUGAUUCUCGAAGGCUAUUUCGCAUUUGCACCCGAGUUUUACAAGGACAAAUCUGGCUUCUUUCUUGCUGAAGUCUGUGAGUAGUCUAAAUCCUUUAACUCAACAGAUCUAGUGCUAUGAGAAGAGAUCCAAAUCCCCAAAACAAUCUAAUACCUUGAUAACAAAUCAUUUCACAGGGAAAGAAUACAGCAAGGGUGAUUCAAGAUAUGCAGCAAGAGAUUCUGGUGUAGUCUCUGUGGAAGGAUUGACUGCAGUCUUGGAAGGUCCAGCGUGCCUUUUAGCCGUGUAUGGAUAAAUCUCUUCUCAUUAGUUGUUUCACUAACAGUGAUAAUGCUUCUUGUUUUCUAAUAUGUUUUUGCAAAAUGAUGGUUUGUUGCAGAUAUGGUAUUGCUGCGGGGAAGUCCUACAGCUACAUACUGCAGUUUGCUAUUUCUUUAGGCCAGCUAUAUGGAACUGCAGUCUAUUUCAUUACCGCUUAUCUCGAAGGCGAUAACUUUGCUGCCACUCCCUUUUACUACUAUGCCUACUACAUUGGUGCAAAUGCUUCCUGGGUUGUCGUACCUUCGCUCAUCGCCUUGCGCUGUUGGAGGAAGACUUGUCAAGCCUUUAGCGUCCAAGCAUCAUCCAGAAAGACCAAAACUCGCUGAACUGUGCGGAAUUUUCUCAACCUGGCUGAUGCGCUCAUUUGUUGUACUUUUUUUUAUAAAGUCAUUUGUGGUACUUGUUUGCUGAAUUAGUCUCUGUUGGAAUUGGUAAUUUGUGAAUUGGAUGGUUUGCCGUCUUACUGUUGGGUAAAAGGUGAUGCUGGAAAUGCAUCCAACAUGAUCAGUUUGGUAUCGAAUUCAUCCAUUCAUUUUGGUAUGUUGCCUGAUUACUCCCGAUCGACUACUCUUCAUGAGUGAGUUGGACAAAAACACAAGUAAUUUGGACGAAUCAAUCGAAUAAAGUACGUAACUAAAGAAACGGAGUAUUGUGAUUAUAAGAAACUAGAUUGUAAGUGUUGAGCUAUGGAGGCUGAUGGACCGAACGUAGAUAUGUAAUCGAGUCUAAUCCAAGUGUACGGUAACCCAAUUCACCGGUGGGAAAACAUUGUCGUUUCAGCAGGGAAAGAAUCAAAAUCAAUCGAUUCUAGUAUUCAACCCCAUCUUUUUCCAUCCAAUUUUCUAUCUUCAAUCAUUAAUUCGAUAUUUUUUGAAUAAUUUUAGUACUUAUUGAAACAAUUCAACUACAAUUCUCUACCGUUAAAAACAUUCAACCUCCUACCACUAUCAUUUCCAGUUUGCUAACCGGUAAUCCGUAAGGGUUCUUAAUCAUUCAACUAUAUAAACAAAGGGCAAAAAGCUCAGGCAGAAACCAAAUCACAUUAACCUCAUUCUGUCAGAUCUACAACCCAUGAACCAACUGACCAAAAGUAUGAACCUUGCAACAAAUUUCUCAACUCUUGUUAUAUUUACAACUCAUGCACACCCUACAAAAUUGUUUGUUUGUUAGGGAUGUUGAAAUGUUCGCCGCAGUUCUUCGAUCAUCCGCAAUGGCUUUACACAAGUAGAGGAAAUCCUGAAAGCUCUUCCUGACAGCAGAAUCUGUUGAUUUUCGAGGAAAUCCUGAAAGCUCUUCCUGACAGCAGAAUCUGUUGAUUUUCGAGGAAAUCCUGAAAGCUCUUCCUGACAGCAGAAUCUGAUGAUUUUCAGCACCCUCCUCCAAGUCUCUGUAUCUCAAAAACCAAAAUCAACUCUCAGCGAUGCAUAUACCAUCUUCGGUCAAUGCCGAUAAGUCUUGACCACCUGUUCUAUCCGUCUCCGGCAAAGUGGACAGCUGCUUAGAUGCGAACAGCAAGUUGUACAACAGCACAUAUGCCCACACCUGCGCAUCGUAGUAAGACAGUUAACAAUCAAGAAUUCAAUUUGCGGCACAGAGACGAGAUGGGUACGGUUACUUACGGUAGGAACACGGCGUUGUACUCAUUCUCGAGACAUAUUACACAUAUAUCCGGAACACGGUCUCUCUUUGAACCAUCGGAGUCAUCCUCAGCCGUUGCAUUCAAACCUGAACAGAAACUCUGAGUAGUCUGGUAAACUGUCAAUAAAGGAAACAUCUUUGAGACGUUCUCGGUUCGAAAACUUACUUUCAGUGUCUUGAUUGCCUGAUCUUUUUGCAGCAGCAGCAGCAAGAACCCUGCAAUAACUAGUUAUAAUGCCUAUCUUUCUAUUCCACAUACAACAAUAUAGGGAAAUGACGCGAGUAAUUACUUUCUGUGUAGAUCCCAUCGUCGCCUUCUCUCCAUGAUGUACUCUACGGCUUGCUUAGCAAUCAGAAAAGCACCAAACACUGUCAAUCCAGCCGAGGCAUACUUAUAUAACCUGCCAUUAUACAUAGAUAAUUCCCGGUCAGGAAAGUUGGAUGCUUUAGAAGGAAGUCCUUUGUUGCAGUUCGAUAUUUUUUAAUAAUGAACACAUACUGUUGAGCAGAUAUCGAGUUUAAGAAAGAAAAACCUUGCCCACUUCCCCAGAUUGCCAAUGAGUUCAUCAAUAUUUUUAGGAGAUACAUAAAAGGGCCCCUUAUGUGGACGCUGAAUCCGAACUUUCCCAAUAUCAUCUUUGACAGCCUAAUAUCAUGAUCAUGUAGAUUAAGGAAAACACAUAAUCAGAAAUUUACAAAAAUUCUCACUUUAAAUUGAUCAUCGGAGAUUCACAACAAUGACUGUAAAAGUAUUUGAAAGUUGGCAUGAAUUAUGAACUCACUGUUCAUCAUCUAAUUAGCAAUUGUGCAAAUAAUGACGCACAAGAUCCACCCUUAUCCAUACUAACUAUUGGUUCAGACAUGCAAAUAAGAUGCAGCGAAAGGACAAAAGUAUGAUCUCCAGCAAUAUACAUAAGUGAGCUUCAAGGAAAUAAAGAAUACAAUACCUCGCCAACUACAGUUAAUGAUGUUCCAGUUGGAAGUACCCUCUCAAUCCGCUUCACUCCAAGCAUCUGCAACCACAAAGGCCACAGAACAAACUUCAUGAAAAGGAACCAACUGCACAAUUGGCUCAUAUACUAGAAAAAAAACAUCAAAAGGACAAACCUUCAAGCCCUGAAGAUAAUCAAGUGUUCCACGUACCAGCGACCGCCCAGAUUCUUCAAAGACUUCACUUGCCACAGUCAACACAAAGCCAGAGGCACCCCGGGCCCCGAGAACGAAAGCACGAUCAGUUCCAUCAUCCUGUCCAUAAAGCAGAGUUAAGUGUGAACAUUACACCUCGAGACAUGUCUUAUUCCAUGCUAACCAGCAACAAAGAACAGAUUUUUAACAAGGAAAGAAGGCCACUCACCAAGUACCAUGGCACCUCUUUACUCAUCGAUAGCAUCAACGCCGAAUCUUGAAUCCAAGACCCAGCAUCAUUAUGCUUAAGAAAAUGCUGCUCCGCCUGAAGGCAGGCAUAACACAGUUAAAAGAUGCAAGACAUUAGUUUUAACACACUUCUGUAAACUCUAUAUCAAAAUCUAAUUUGACAUUACCGUCUCCUCCACUAUAACACCUCUCAGACCGCUGAACUCACAGUUUAUCGGUGUCUCGGAUCCAACUCUACCCGAAAUUGCCACAACCAGAGGCAGGAGAUUGUUCUCAACGUCAAAUAGUUUCGCUGCCAAGUUCAAAAGUUUACUCAUUUGAUCAAAAUCCAUCAUGAACUAGUACAUUCCACCCUUUACAGUAGAAGCAUAAAAACAAAUCCUGUUAUUGUUGUACAUUUUUCAACCAGCAGAUUGUCCAGACAGCAAACAGAUAAAGAAAAAAGAAACUUGGCUAAUCAGCUCAUAACCACAUAUAAAUAUACAAUUGAUACAACAAAUUCAGCUUAGAAACAAAGCAUGAAUACCCAAUUCCUUGAGCUGAUUGACUCUUGUGACGGACUUAAGAGCUUCAGCAUCCCUGCCACUGCUUCUCCCAAGCAAAUAGAGGGCGGCUGCACUUAAGCAGCAGCCAAUUCCUCCCCAUGGAACCAUCAUCUAUUCUUUGCCCAAACACAGCUCAGAAACCCUAGUCUUUUCUGUUCAAAAUCACCUACCACUGGUCAGAUAGAAACUCAUGGGAACCCAUAACCCACUUUUCAAUUUUGCUCGAAAACGAUAAAUUGGGGAAACGGGGAUAGAUCAAAAUUACAGAGUUGAACCGCAACUGAAUCAAUAAGGCUGGAAAGGAGAUUAAUAAACCGCGGGGGGGAUGGAAUCUGAUGCUAGGAAUGAGAGAAAGGAAGGUGGAGAUGCAUUGGAUAGAGCUGCAAGAGACGUAAAGGGGAGAAAGUAUGAACAAGGAAGCGCCUUUUGAUGUUUAUUUCUUCUCCGGUGGUGGAGCUCGCUCUUGCCGAUGUGUAAUUAACUGCACUCGGAUAAAGCUUUGUAUUAUUCAGCCAUUUUUUUGCGCUCGUGUUUUUCUCAAUAUUUUAGAUGUGGAAUGGACUCUGUGGAUAAUGUUUAAUUGUUUUUAGUAUAUAGAAAUUACUUAAUUGUUUAUUCUAAUAGAAGAUAAUUGUUUAUUAUAAACAUAAUAAUUUUAGAGCAUUUUCAAUUUAAUUUUUAACUAGAAGUUAAUAAGAUACUCAUAUAAAUGUGCUUUUUAAAUUAGUAAACUUACUUUUAUAUUGCUUUAGGGUUUGGACCGGUGACCAAGUUUGCCGACUUUUUCUGAGGUUAUGGGGGUGGGGGGUUACAUGUUCCGUGUGUUACCCGACUCACUCUCGAGUCUUAAGUUUCAGGCCAAACCCAAUAUGUUUAUUUUAACACAAAUUUUUCCCUCGCCCGCACAUCGUAGUCAUAAGGCUAUCGUACUAUAUGCAGAAAAUUACGAUAAUGAUCACAUAUACAACCAGACUACAAAAUUAUUAUUAUUUCAUCUAAUCAAUCUUUUAUAAUCGAGACAACCACAAAAAAAUAAAACAAAAUAAAAAUUAUGAGAACUUCAACUCGAACUCGGGAGCUCAAAAUUAAUGUACCAUCGAACUAUUCAUCAUCUUCUACUUCCACACUCCAAACACUCGAGGCAUUCCUCCAACCGGUCUGACCCUGGGCUGGGCCUUCGACUGUGGGCUUUAGAUUUGGGCCUGUUAACUGCGAUUGGACUCAGGACCUGUUUGAACAAGCUUGAAUGACAAGCAAAGUCCAAUAAGGCCCAUUUCCAAGACGAUUGAGCCGGGUAACCCGAAAUCGCCGUCCAUAUCGGGUUGGCUGCUGGUUCGGCAAAGACGGCUAAAACCCUUCUGGAAAGAGAAAGCCAGAAGAAAACCCCUAAAACCCAAUUACUACCUUCACAGCCUCCUCCGCCACUCUUUCUUAGCUUCCACUUCAGCUGAUCCCGAUAUUCCCCGAAAAUGGCUUCCGUCGUCCUCCGAAACCCUAAUUCCAAGCGCCUCUUAACAUCUUCUUCUCCAAUCUACUGGGGUUGCCGAGGCGGAUCAGCCAUUACUCAUCAUUCUUCUAUCCAUGGAAAUGACUCAACAUCGCCUUCUGUUGCUUCGUGGUGGAGAUCCAUGGCCACUUUCACAAGGACGUGAGUUUUUUUUUAAUCAAAAUCAAAUCUCUCCGGUUUUCUCUAUUUUGAUGGAUUCGAAGCUUUGCUUCAGUUGAUUUCUGUGUUGUUUUUUGUUACAGUAAGCCUCACGUCAAUGUUGGAACAAUUGGCCACGUUGAUCAUGGAAAGACUACUCUCACUGCGGCAAUUACCAGGGUUUGUCCUCGUUUAGGCUUACUAGUUACUCAUCAGUAGAGGAUAGUUGUAUAGUUUUGUUACCCUGAUUGGAUUUAGGUGAAAGUAGCUUGAAGCAUCAUGUGUGUUGUGCAUUCUUGUUUUAGGUACUGGCUGAAGAAGGUAAAGCUAAAGCUGUUGCCUUUGACGAAAUUGAUAAGGCCCCAGAAGAGAAAAAGAGAGGAAUAACUAUUGCCACUGUGAGUGAGACUACUCAGCUUGUUAUUUCUUUUGGUUCUUUUGUUUCCUUCCAAGUAUAACCUUUAGAACAAUUGCUUCUUUGACUGUGCUUGAUUCUAUUUCGUAUUUAUGUUUCAGGCCCAUGUGGAGUAUGAAACUGCAAAGCGUCAUUAUGCACAUGUUGACUGUCCUGGACACGCAGAUUACGUUAAAGUAAGCCUAGACUUUUUCAUCUUGACUGCAAUACUGGAAUUGAAAUAGUCGUUAGCAUCGAUUCCAAGCAAAUUUUGAGUGGUUGAGCUAUACUUAUUGAGUGAAGUCAGCGGAGUUCUUCUGAAAAUGCAUGUAAACAGUUACAAUCAGAACUUUGCAUUUCUUUUGGUCGCGGUGUAUAUGCAUAUUUAUCCUUCCCUACUGUAGUGUAUAAGCUUGCUGUUUUCUGUUGAGAUGGACGAUUCAACUUUGUUUCUAAUGACUGAAAUUGGUGGAAUGACUGAUCUGGCUUUUUUUGAAUUCAUCUGUAUAGAACAUGAUUACGGGAGCUGCCCAAAUGGAUGGUGGGAUUUUGGUUGUAUCAGCUCCUGAUGGUCCUAUGCCGCAAACAAAGGAACACAUUUUGCUUGCUCGCCAGGUGCAUAUUCUGGCUUUUUAUUCCUUUGGUCGGAUGUAUCUUCUACAUUUUCUUAACCUAUAAACAUUCCUUUUUAAUGUGAUACCAGGUUGGUGUCCCAUCGCUGGUUUGCUUUCUGAAUAAAUGUGAUGCCGUUGAUGACCCUGAACUAUUAGAGCUUGUUGAGAUGGAACUCCGUGGUAUGAUGCUGUCAGAUUGAAAUUUUUGUUUUCAUUUGCGUCUUGCUCUUUUGUGUUAUUGCCUAUUGGUCACGAGAAAAAUUAUUAAUCGGCAAUUUUUUCAGAGCUUCUGAGUUUCUAUAAGUUUCCUGGAGAUGAUAUCCCUAUCAUUAGGGGUUCAGCACUUUCUGCUUUACAAGGGACUAAUGAAGAACUUGGUAAACAAGCCAUUUUAAAGUUGAUGGAUGCCGUGGAUGAGUAUAUCCCUGAUCCAGUGCGACAACUUGAAAAGCCAUUCCUCAUGCCUAUCGAAGAUGUUUUUUCCAUUCAGGUAUAUAUAGUAUGCGAUAGAUUUCUUUUUUCUGCUAGUGUUUCUGUACUAUUUCGUCUGUGAAGCAGUGUUUGUAUUGUGUGAUGUUUUCCUAUUAUGCGACCUUUCAUUUACAAGUCUUUUGUUAAAGGGUCGUGGAACUGUUGCAACUGGCCGUAUUGAACAAGGGACAAUCAAAGUGGGAGAAGAAGUUGAAAUCUUGGGACUUACAUCGGUAAUUUCAAAUUGCUGACCAUGAACUUAAGACUUCCAUUUGAUGGAUUGUAUUAUAAUGUCAAUUCAUUAAUGGAAAAUUUUAUUUACUCCCUUGUUUGACUCGUUUCCUUGUGCAGGGUGGUCCCCAGAAAACAACAGUUACUGGCGUUGAGAUGUUCAAGAAAAUUUUGGACAAUGGACAAGUAAGUCAAUUGUUUGAGUAUCCCCCCUGAAGUCUUGCAAUCUACACUGUUGUUAGCUUGAUUAAAAUCGUGUUUGUUUCAAUGACAAGGCUGGUGACAAUGUCGGUCUCCUUCUGCGUGGUUUGAAACGUGAAGAUAUAGAACGAGGACAGGUUGGUUCAAUUUGACAAGAAAUGAACCUAUUUUUGUGAUGUCCUAGAAUCUUACUGAUAGCAACCACGAUGACAAAUUUGUAAAGCUAAGAUAUCUUGCACUGUUGUGGUUCAGGUGAUUGCCAAGCCCGGAUCUUUGAAAACAUACAAGAAAUUCGAGGCUGAGAUAUACGUCCUGACGAAGGAUGAGGGUGGUCGCCAUACUGCCUUCUUCUCUAACUACAGGCCCCAGUUCUACAUGAGAACUGCAGAUAUUACCGGUAAGGUGGAAUUACCAGAAUCCGUGAAGAUGGUCAUGCCCGGCGACAAUGUGACUGCCAAUUUCGAGCUGAUCCAACCGGUUCCUAUGGAAGCAGGUCUGGUUCAAGUUUUCUUGCUUUGUCUCUGUUUCUCAUCUAUCAAUCCAUGUUAAUAAGAGCCUGAUAAAUGAUGUUCCUUUCUUAUUGGGUUGAACAGGACAAAGAUUUGCUUUGAGGGAGGGAGGUAGGACAGUUGGAGCAGGUGUUGUCUCGAAAGUAAUUAGCUAAAGUUCAUUUGGCCAUAUACAGUAUGGAGUUUGUACUCUUUUUUUAUGCUUCAUCAUCACAGAUAAAAAGCAGGUUAGAAGAACUUAGUGGUUGGGAGCAGGAAUUGCUAUGUUUGAAUGGAGACUGCAAGGUGUUCCUGUUUUAUUCAGCAUUGACAUCUGAACUGAGAGAUUUCGGGAUCUUAGUGGGAAGUAACUGUUUCUUCCUUUAGUCCCUCUUCCUUUUCCAUCAUUAAUUUUCUAAAAUAAUUAAAAAGGAGACGUUUUGUGUGACGAGGAACAGAUGCUCCACUUUGUAAUUGUGACGUUGCAAUCGUAUAAAUUUUGGGCUAUUUAUCUUCGACACUUAUUUCAGCAAACUGGAGGUGUUAAAAAAGGGCAAUAAGGAAUGUCCUCCCGAAAUUCAGACCUAGAAUUACCAUUUCUGCUACAUCGCGUUCGAAAUAAAUGAAAUUUUAGUUGCAUAAAAUCUACUUGGCAUAAGCUAUUAUUGUUAUUGCUCAAAGAAAAAUUUACAAGUUACAGACUGAAGGCUCUAAAGAGGAGUCCUCAGAGCAAUAUAUAAAUCUUCUUCUCACAAUCCAUCACCAUUUCAACGAACAAUUGGCAUAAGUAUGUCGAGCUCUGGGGCAGUAUAGCCCCAAUAUAUACAGUUUACGUGAUCCAUAACACAUUUGCAGUUCAUGCCACUCUCAAAACAGCCACUGCGAGCAAAGUUGCAGCUCUGAAGUAAACAUCUUUCAAGCUUCUGUUCACAGUGGUUACGACCUCCUCGUCCUUGAGGCCCUUGCCAGCAUUACUGCUGACGCGAAUUAUCGUGUCACGCAGUUUGUUUACGGCCCACGAGAGCCACACCAGUCCAAAACCCAACCCUGUGCUUAGCACUUUCGAUGUGCAUAAGGGUACCACCGGACCACAAGCUAACUUGCACAUAACUGAGAACAGUACUGCAAUGCCGGUGCCAGCGAUGCCAGCAGAGAACUGUGUCAGCAACUCGCGUAGCUCGGGGCCAGACUUUUUGAGUGACAGGAUCGCCGUUUUCCCACUAUGUCUCUUGUUCAUCAUUAGCGAAAGAAGGCUCUCGCAAGCGUGGGAGUAGUUUCUUGUGUAGAGAUCCCGCUCUUUAGUACUCCUUCUCUUGCUGCUUCUCCUUUUAAGGGAUGGCUUCCCCUUGGCCUUUUGAGUGCUGCUGAAAGUAAAGGAAUCGAGUACACAAUCGAAUUAGAACUCAAAAGCCGGUCAUUUAGAGCAUGUAAGAACUGGAAAAAAGAGACUUUGAAUCAAUCACAUUACCUAUCGACACUUUGGACCUUGGAUGAAGAAAGCUCGGUGUUGUACUCGUACCGGUUAUAUUGGGGGAUGAGUGCCGAUUGUUUUCUCCUCGAGGUUGAACUAUUGGCCAGGUAAAACUCAGCAACAAUGGGGAUGAUGUUCUUAAUCUCUGUGCCACUGCCGGUCAGCAGUACUCGACCAUCCGGUUGAAUGGUAAUUUUCGAACUGCGAGCCAUAUCCCCCAGAAAGUCUACUAAAGGGUUGACGGAAUCAAAAUUUUCCUUUGUGUUGAUAAUAUGUGGUCCCAGAUCGACUGACAGUUGCAAUGAUUGAAGGUCGAUCAGCUCAGAAACCUCGGACAAAUCCAAUCCCAAUGGUUCUAAUUCAUUCAGGCGAGAUUUGGGGAAUUGCAUUAUUCCAUCAUUUCUGGUGCAUUGUCCAGAAAUCCCAGAGCCGGAGAGAACUCUCUUUGUCCACUCAUCUACAUGGAAAAAAAAGUAUACAAUUAGCAUCAUCUUGUCAAAGUCUAUAACUUGGUAGGUUUGAACAGCUUUUUCAGUGAUUCGGUAUUAUCAAACAAGAAAACUAACUGGUACAACGGUAAUAACACAAAACCAUGCCGCUAGGAUGCUACAAACUAGUCAUAUCUUGUAGGUGAAGAUGACAGAGGGUUAGCCGUUCUCGGGUGCUAUCAUCAAACUACCCCUUGGAGUUUUCAUAUGAGAAAUUAUGUUAAUGAGCCACAAACCUGUUACGUUGAUAAGUACAGGCUCUCCAACAGUAGGGAAGUGGUUGUUGUCGAGUUCGAUUCCGUUCGGCUUCAGACGAAGGGAGACUGGUCUCGUUAUCUCUUGUCCAGCCACCAUGUUAGGUAGAUAAGGUUGACAAUCCUGUUCAAAUUAUCAAAGGCUGAUCAUCAGUUUUACAGUUCAAGAACAAAGGGAAAAACUCAAACCAUAUAUAUGCACAUCAUGUUAACAAACAGCUAUGAAUUGUUAGGAAUCAGACAUGAUCCCAAUCUGUUCAUAUUGCACACAAAAAAGAUGUUCAAGUGAGCCAGAAAAAACGAAAGACAGACCUAAUAUCCAUUGAUCGUUCAUCUGACUUUGGCAGUUCAAAAAGCAUCAACCUUUGCCAAACGUCAUGCUUUGCAGGCAGCUAUUAGACACUGAACAAAGUUCAGAAUUUGGAAACUACUCAUAAGACAAUAUCAAAUUCUGAAAGAAACCAACUUGUAAUUACCCACAUCAGCAAUCAAGCAUCCAAAACCCGAAGUGUGGUUCAAAAGUGCAUACCUUGAAAACCCUGUGGUGUUCUUGCUGAAACAAGAGCUCAGAACCAGGAAGGCAGCCAUGAGAAGUCAUCAAACAAAGCUUAACCAUAAUUAACGCCCAGAAGAAAUAGAGAGAGCAAGAAAUCGUCUUUUCUGUCUCUCCCUAAAUUCUUCUUCACAAACCCAUAGACUUAUCCAUGUAUAGCUCUCAGAGAAACCCAACCACAAUUAAGGAUUCAAUUACAGAAGAAACUCGUCGUAAUCGCCUCUUUGUCUCCGUGGCCCCUUACAGAGACGUUAAUCUUUGCGAAUGGAAAUAGGGAUUUUUGUGGCGGAGGAGACAGCUCCGUUGGGAAUACGGAUUGCGAUCCCUCCGUAAAACAGCUGACAGAACAAGAAGUUAAAUACAAAACCUGUCUCUGUAUAUCUACUGUUUUUUGUUUUGUUUCCUUGUUAUUGUCGGCCGUGCGAGGAAAUUAGGCUACUGAAUCAUUAUUCGUAUGCAAUUUGGUCCAAAACUAUAAAUUGAAAACUGUACAACUGUCCUGCAAUUGGCAACUUGUUUUUUGUUCAUUCAUAUUAGUAUUAUACUUCUCAACCACUUUUGUUUACCAGAGCUCGCAGUUGGGCAUGAAAUGUUUGACCUGCAUUUGUUUCAUGAUUUGUUAAUUACACUCUGAUAACAUGGUUUAACGUGUAAAUUAGAGAAUUCUCCACACUUUUCAUUCAUUCAACGAGGUUUAAUUAUAUGCCAUGUCAGGAAAAUCAAUUUAUGACAAAAUGAUAAUUAAUACUUAGUCAAAGAAGACACGAUUACUUGUGUUUAUUUCAAUCGAAUCUCAUCAUCAUUCGUCUCAAGUCUCGAGAAAUACUACAGAUGAUCACUCCGAAGAAGCCACACAUACAACCGGCGAGGUAAAGAAAUACGACCACCUAACUAUGAGCGGCCUCAUUUCGUUUCCUCCUAACCCAUCUGACAACAAAGUUUGGUCGAGCCAACGAUUUACACCAAUCAAUAGCAAAAUUCAAGUUCUCUCAUGUCGAGUUGUUAUCUGAACCCAAGCUGCCUUUCACCGGAUUCUGCUUCUUCGGAACGCAACUCUUGGUUGAGAGAAGUGUUGUUGCACCACCUGCACUAGUGUUCUGAACCCAGCAAUCGAAUCUUCCAUUGUAUAUACCUCGAAAGUCGUCGUACCUUGGAAUUGGAGUAGCCCAGCAAGAGACUCUAGGCUGAAACACCCUCCAAUUGGGUUCAUAGGACUGUAAUUUCACUGCAAAAAGGAACUCCGGCUCUCCUGUCGUCCCCAUCCUCAAAUCAAAGGAGAAGACACAAUCCUCCAUGUAUUUAAAGAAGACAAUUUCCGGCUUCUCCGGAUGCAGACAAAGCACAGAGCACUUGUCAAGUUCAUAUUUACCCCAUAAUGAUGAUGAUGAUGAUGAUGAAGUGGCCGUCUGCAACUCUAUUUCACAUUGUUUGCUCCACCUCCACCAAUACUCAUCAUCUUCUAGAUACAGUCUCCAAACACUCAAGGCAUUCCUUGAAGAAUCACGUACACCUUCAACAUCCAACAUCAAAAGCACUGUGCGAUCGGAACUGGCUUCAUAAUGCAUCCAACACAACUCGUUCUUGAGCCACACAACAUUGGUCCGUGGCGUUUUAUGGGAAUCCUUAAGAAGCACAUGCAGCCAUUUCCCGGUCUCGGAAGAAAACACCACCAGGGCCAGGUUCUUGCCACAUUGUAAAAGACGCACCACACAGAAACGAUACUCUGAGUAAGCUAAGCCGUCUGCAGAUGAUGAUUCUGCUUCGUCUCCUACAAGAUUGAAAUUAUAAUUACUAUGGGGUAAACAAUUUCAAUUCCACUGACGGGCGCGGGAAGAGGAGCCAAGAAGCUGAGAAAGCGCAAUAGUCCUGAAAUCCAAAAGCCAAUAGAUUAGAGACGAUGCUCUCCGGGCACUGUAAUCGAACAUGGUAAUGAUUUCUCUCUCGAUUUGGUUUAUGCCUAUUCCUCCUCCCACGGCACGACGAUAACUCCGUCCGCCAUGGAUUUUGAAUUAUGAUUUCCUCCCCCAUUGCUGAAGUUCGGGAUUUCUGUGUCGAUUGUGCAGCUGUUCUUCUCCUACUUCGGCAGAGAAGUAACGGUGGAUCUCAAGAACAAUUUGGCCAUCAGAGGCACACUUCACUCAGUAGAUCAGUAUCUCAACAUCAAGCUCGAGAAUACUCGCGUUGUUGACCAGGACAAGUACCCUCACAUGGUAAUCUCUCUUCUUUUGCUAAUCUUGUACAAAUUUGGUAGCUAAGUAUACAUUUUCCCUUGAUUUGCUUGUAAUCUAGGGUUUUUGCAGUUUAGAAAAUUGCCUAGGGUUUUAAUGUUUCCUAUAUAACUACAUACAAAUGAGAUUACAUCUGCAAGAGUGAGUGUCAGUCCUCUCUAUGACUGUUGAAUCUUAUGGUAGGGUUUGAAACUUGGAUGAUAAUAGGAUGUCUGUUGUUUACUGGUAUCUGAACUGAAACUUGACAUUGUUUUUCCACGGCUCUACUGCAUCAAUCUGACAACAUCAAACUACCUGAUAAGAUGAGUGAUCAUUUCAUUGAUUUAGAACUGGAUUAAAGUUACAUAACUUUUUGCAACUUAGAUAAGAAGUAAUAGAUAUGUAUAGACUAUAGAGACGAACACUAAACUACCUGAUAAGAAUCUGAAUUAACUCUUGAUGAGUGUUCGUUGCAUUGCUUUUGCAUUGCUUUUGAACUCGGUUAAAGUUGCAUAACAUUUGCAACUGAGGUAAGAAGGAGAACAGAGAGUGAGACUGAGAAGUUUCAUUUAAAAGUGUUGCUGGGGAAUUAAGGGAUAUUCAGAGGCUUGGUUAACCAAAUUUUUAAAUACACAUGCCCUUUUCAAUAUAGUAACUGGCAGUGGUGUGACUGUGUGAGUAAUGAUUUCACGUAAUGAACGAGACUCGUCUCGUUGAAUUGUCUUCAUAAUGCAUUCAUGCUAAAUUCUUCAUACACAACUGUGAAUACAACUAUUCAUGAUUUCUGGCACUUUGUUGACCAAGAUCACAUUGAACUUUCUUGUCUACCAUCUCCAGUCUGGGUUCAUGUUCACGCCUUCAAUCUGCAGUUGCUACGAAUCUUCACUGUUUAACUACCUGAGAAAAAUUAUCAAACUUCGCCUCGUAUUUUCCUUACCGUCAAUCUCUAUCGACUGCCUAGUUAAGCCACAAGUCGCCCUUUUUUGUUUGCAGCUAUCAGCGAGGAACUGUUUCAUCAGGGGUUCAGUGGUCAGAUAUGUCCAACUGCCACCAGAUGGUGUCGAUGUUGAUCUGCUUCACGAUGCUACGAGGAGAGAAGCUCGAGGUGGAUGAUUGCUCUUAGUGUGUCAACCACUUACAUGUACUAUGUCUUGACAAUUUUAUGCAUCUGUUCAAUCUUCAAACAUUAGCCAUGGUUGGUUUUUUUCACCCUGGUGUGUACACUUGUGGUUAGUGAAAAUUGUGCAAGUAGGAAACCUGUAUGAGGUUUGGUUCCGAGUUCCAAUCUACAUUUUUCUCCAAGGCAUGGACACAUACACUGGCAGCUUUUUUUCAUUCUUAAACGACUCACUACCUAGUCUCUUUUCAGUUAGCCCGACAACGAAGCUCAACCGGGAGUCCACAUCGAUCAUUUAAGCUCUAUUUAUUAGUUUGAUCGAAAUGAUCAAACAUUGCAUCAAGCCAUUGGAAAAAAUACCAUCCAAAUUCAAGACAUCUCGUGUUGGUGAACACAACUAGUCAAUAGCUUUACUAGUUCGGAUAAGAGGCUUUCGAGGCUUCGACUUGUUUGAUGCAACUACAGAACAAAGCCUUAUUUCUGUGUGGAAGUCUUCUCUGGUGAUUUUCUGAUAGCCUUUAUUUCAUCACUUGACAAAUUUGGUGAACCAAUCAAGCAUGUCCUGAUGAGACUUCUCAGCACUCUUGACUGCAGCUUCAUCUUCAUCUUUGUACCUAACAGUCCAUCCAUGAGCAACCCCUCCAAAUAUCUUCACAUAUCCUUCAACCUAUAACCCCACACCAGCCAAUCAAACAAGUCAAAGUCAAUGAUCCUAAGGAAAGUCAACUACUUCCUGUGGUAUUAGUUCUCCACUUCUUAAUAAUACCUCUGGCUUAGUAGACAGAACUUCCUCAAACUGCUUGAGAAGUUCAGGUGGUGAAAGCUUGUCUAUCUCAGCUCCCAGUACUGCAAUCGGCACCUUCACAUCUGCAAACACACACAAAGAAGCCGUCAAUCCUCUAAACAUGUAUAUUAUUGGGAAGGCCUGCUAAUCGGGCUACGAUCGACCAUACCCUUGAUAUCCUCGACAGUUACUCGAGAAGGAUGUAGCAAGACUGCAGCUUUAAUGAGAUCAGAGUCUUUAGAUAGCUCAACAACCACCUUAGCUGAACACCAUAUGAUAAAAAAGGCUCAUCAAACAAAUUCUAACGGUUUACGCUGUAUCCCAAUAACUCGAGGAAAGAAGCUCCUACCGCCCCAGCAGAAACCUGCAGCUCCAACUGCAGAGAUGCCGGUAAUGCUUCUCAGUGCAGCAAUCACUUGUUUAGCAUCUUCAUACCCUUUAUUCUAACAUAAUACAUAACAGACAUAUUACAAUUGUUACAUAAGCUAGACAAAUUCAUAGUUAAAGAAUCCUAACUGUUCCGUGGGAUUCCCUCCAGAGGGAGAUAGGCAUUUCAGGUCUGUCAGGAAUGUACGGAUCUCCAUGGAAGAAGUCUGGAACUACAACAUAGAAUCCUGCUGCUGCAACUUUGUCUGCAAUUUUCCUUAGAUUUGGUGUUUCAUACCCUGCAAAAGAAGGGAAAUUUUUUGAAUAACCCAAUUGGAGAAUCUGUUUCUAGAUGGUAAAAAGAAUCGAUUUCUAUUGGUGGGUAUACCCAAAACAUCAGAAGCAAGGAGAAGGGAGAGGUUGGAUUGAGAAGAAGAUCCAGUGGCAUAGGCCUUGAGUCCUCCUAUUUCUCUCUCCGCCCCUUUUAGUGCUGACGUCAUCUCUAAAGUCUGAUUCUGAACUGAUCAAUGAUGAAGAAGAAGCUAAGCCAGAAUGAUUAAAGAUAGAUUGUUGUAAUCAUCAAUCAUUAUUUGUGAGCUCUAGUUGGGUGGUGACAACUGACUUGCUGGAUUUUGCUUUUGUCCUGGAAUCAUCAUCACUUUCAGGGCAUCUAAUCUUCAGUGCUGACGCAAGGCAUGAGCUAUGAUUAAACCAGUCAGAGAGGGGAAUUGUGUUGAAAUCUGAGAAAGAGUUUGAUAGGCUAUCCAGCCCAUUAAGAUUGUUCAGGCUUCCGUUGUUAGGCCUAGAGCAGAAGCCUAGCUAGCAAGUAAGAGCACUGUUUGCCUAUCUCUCACCGACAUAUAAAUCUCACUAAAAAAAUCGUAUAGUUCCAUACUCUUCAGUCCCAAUAUAUAAAUUUCCAUAAGAGUUUUCCGUUACUUUGUCAACAUCUCUUUGCAUUUUCCUCUUCGAAUUUGCAUAAAAAAACAGAGCCCUGUGACAUCAAUGUUCAUCACGUUCAUAGUUCAAACGUUUACAGUACCACUAUGCUAGUGAGCUGAUCAGAGAAUUGAUUUCUUAAAGCACGUGCAAAUUGUGAUAUUAAUUGGCUCACAUUUUUUUUCUAUAAUGCAUGCAUUUUCUUGUUACUUCAGUACACUGUAUUAUGUUUAACAACUUAUAUACAUGUGGAGUCAAUUAAUCAUCUGUUCGCAAGAGGCAGCCACACACAUUAAUGUCCACGUAGAAGACAAUUAAUCUGGUAUUAUAAAAAUGAUUUAAGAAGGAAGAUGAUAUUAAUGGAGUGUGGUACUCAACUGCCGACACAAUCUAGAAUAUUCUAGAUGAUGUUAACAUUUGUCUAUGUACGUGUCUAUAUUACAAGGUACGUACGCCUGCUUUUGGCCUAAACAUGUAUGCGAUUGAGACCGAUCGAGGCCAGGCUGCCAGCAUGAAACUCUACGUGCAUGAGAUCGAUUAGUGGUGGAUACUGGCGGGUCUAUUACAAUCCAAUAAAAAAUUAUAUUUAAAAGUUGAUUAAUAUAUUAACACUUCAGUGUUUUCCAAAUUAUAUACAAUUUGAUUUAUAGUACAUAUUAGAUAAGAUUACGAUAUCAAGUGUGUUGAGUUGUACACUAAUAAAUGUCGUAACGACCUACAUGUGUUUAGUGUUUAAAUUUAGAAAAUUGACAUGAAUUGUUAUAUUUUAAUAAUUCGAACUAUUGAUAAAGAGGUUAGAUUGACUUUUUAUAUUAUUCCUCAACACACCUCUUCAAUCGAAAAUUUCUCAGAAGAGUUGAAGUUUGCAAUAGAUCAUAUAUAUUUUUAUGAGUUAUACCAAAUUUGACGCGAAGACCUUCCAAAUUUUAAAGGCUUUCAAUACCAUAUUAUAACCGUUUAUUGAGAGGAGAUUAACCGAUUAGGUUAGGUUUUAUAUUAUUGAAACAUCAGCAACUGAGGUUUGGCACGUAAACUUCAUUGCAUAUUCAUUCGUGGCGAUCGAGAACAGUACGGAUAAGGGAGACUGAAAAUCAAAGAUGCCUUGAUUUCAGUGUAAUUAAUUAAUGUUGUACGUAGAGAAUUGAAAACGACUAAACAUGAAGACGACGGGUCGUUUUGACUGCGUGGAAACAUAAGCAAAAUUCCAAGAAAGGUUGUCGGGCGGGCCGGGCCGGGCGGGCGAUCGAUUCAAGAAUUUCUAGAAGAGAAAGAAAAAUAAAUAGCUCAUCAUCAUUGACUAAGACUUUGACUGAUAAUUAACCAGUCUUAAUUAUUACCUUUUCGCCAAUCAAAUGACUAUCUCUCAGUGUCGGCACAAAGUAUUAAACUCUAAUAUACAUUUAUGAUUGUUUUGAAUUCGGUUUAGAGUAAUUUUUUGUUCAGUUUAAAAUUUGUUUGUAUCGAAAUUUAAAAAUAGCUAGAGAAUCGAGAAUCUUUACCGUUGUUCAUGGAUAAAACAAUAGAUUCGUCAAUUGAUUAUUGCUUUCCGAUGCAUGUUUUGAUCCAUAGCAAUUUUUAUGUUUUUUUUAUAUUUAUAAUUGUUAUGUGUUUUCCCCUACUAACAAAUAUAACAAUUAUAUAUAACCAUAACCCUAAACUGUAAUUUAAAUUUAAUAAUAUUAAUUUAUCGUUUAGACUGGUAAUUUGACUAUUUAGUUAAAACCAAUUCAUGUAACUGAAAAGGCAAAUUAGAAAAUUGGCGGGAUGAAUACUUUUUUUUUUAUAAUUUUUUUNNNNNNNNNNNNNNNNNNNNCAUCCCUAAUAAUUUUUAAGUAAAACCACCUCACGAGACCCUUUACAUCAUCCUUUUUAUUUGACAAUUGUUAAAAAUCUGGAAUGAGAUAAGUGUUUAAGAAAUAAUAGAGUUUUGUACUUAUAAUUUAAAAUUUUCACGGCCACGAUUCUAACGAAAUUUUUUUGAAAAUUGAAUAUGACUAGAGAACGAACUUUACUACCAAGUUAUUUAUGACAUUAGCAUCUAAAACCACCAAAUGAAAAUGAAGAUUAACUAUCUAAAGUCCAAAUAAAAUUCUUCCAUUUAUCGAUAAAAUUAUAUAUGGGUGAUUCGAAAAUUUCGUAUUUGAAUUGAACACAAACUACAAACAGACACUGUCGUACUAUUUAACCUUCAGCUAGGACCCGAACCGCGCGGUUGAGAAGCCUACAAAUAAUUUGGGUACCCGAAUAAAAAGGCCAGAGCAGCUUAAUUAAUUUACUAAUCACUCCUCCCUCCGACUUUAAACCUCCCUCCCUGAAACGUCAUUCGCCGGCGACACCGGUCAUUUUUCCGUCAUCUUCGUCUCCUUUCCUUUGGGUACUUUCACUCUUCUCAGCUCUCUGAUUCUUCCUGCAGCUCCGAAAAAGGAAGAACAGAAAAAAAGAGAAAGAAAUACGGUCUUGAAAGGCGGCGGCAACGGCGGCGGAGGAGAGAAUAGGUUAAUCGUUAUGAUGGCGGCGGUGUCCGUACAGCCUCUUCCGCAGAGUCUGUGGGACUCGGUCCUCCAACUCACCAAAUCAGCACAGGAGAAGAACGCCGACCCGCUCCACUGGGCGAUUCAGCUCAGCUCCAGUCUUGCUUCUGCCGGCGUCGCUUUACCUUCCGCCGACAUCGCCGACCUCUUAGUCUCUCACAUCUGCUUCGAGAAUCAUGUACCUAUCGCCUGGAAGUUGCUCGAGAAAGCCCUCUCUGUCAAGAUCGUCCCUCCCAUGCUCGUCCUCGCCCUUCUUUCCACCAGGUCCCUUUCCAUGUUUCUUCAGGUUUCAAUUUCAAUCGUUUGUUCAAUUGUUCCUAACUUUUUGUUAUUUUCAAAUUUAGGGUGAUUCCGAAUCGACGUUUGCAUCCUGCAGCUUACAGGCUUUACAUGGAGCUUGUCAGACGACAUGCUUUUGCAUUUUCGUCUGAAAUCAGUGGCCCGAAUUCCGCUAAGUAGGUAUUCCAGGACGUAAUAACGUGACAUUUUCCUUUAAUUAGCUUAUCAAACGUGUCAUUUUCCUUUAAUUAGCUUAUCUUAGUCUGCUUGUAGUUGAUGCUUGUUAUGGAAAAAAAUUGCAGGAUGAUGAAAUCCAUAGACGAUGUGCUUCACCUCUCUGAUGUGUUUGGACUUGAAGCGACUGAACCAGGGAUUUUUCUAGUUCAAUUCCUGUUUUCAGUUGUUUGGAAGUUGGUUGAUGCUUCAUUGGACGAUGAAGGGCUGCUGGAACUUACAUUAGAGAAGAAAUCACGGUGGCUCCAAGCAGCAGAAGAUAUGGAGAUAGAUGGCUUUGCUGACAAAAGAAGUGAGCAUAAUGAAGGGGUGGUGAAAGGAAAUACUACAAUGGCUAUUGAGCUUAUUGGGGAGUUCUUGCGGAAUAGAUUUACUUCAAGGAUUCUUUACCUGGCUUUUGCAAACAUGUAAGCUGAUCAGGGGAUUUGUCUUGAGUUAUUUGAGAAUUCUACAUUGUUAUUAUUAGAAUGAGUCAAUUCAGAGCUCUGACAUCUUCUUCAGGCCUUCGCAUUGGGGAAGCUUCUCUCAGGGGAUGCAAACACUUCUUGCUAAUUCGGUAGCUUUGAGAAGUUCGAAACUUCUCACGCCAGAGGACCUUGAGCAGCUGUUAUCCAAAACAACUGUACCUUUCCAUCGUUUUUUCAAGACAAAGUUACAGUUAGAGUGCCAUGCUAGUAUAUCUGCUACCUCUAUUAAAUCCUCUGCCGGUCAAUGGCAUGGGACGAGCCAGUCCGAACUCUGGCUUCCUAUUGAUCUCUUUCUCGAAGAAUGCAUGGAUGGCUCGCAAUUGGCUGUUGUUAGUGCUAUAGAGAACCUUGUAGGUAUGAGUUUGUUCAUGAGUUUCUUCAAUACCUAAGAUUUAGUGUAAUUAUCUGUUUUAAAUCAAUUACUGGUACCAAACAAUUCUUUCAGGGCUGGUUAAAUCUUUGCGGGCUAUCAAUGGCUGUAAAUGGCAGGAUACCUUUCUGGGACUAUGGACUGCAGCUUUACGUCUUGUUCAAAGGGUACGUACUCAUGCUAAGUGAUAGACGAACUAGUUGAUUUCCCUCUAGUACUUUUGUUUUUGAUGAUUCAGACACACUGCAUUCAUUUGUGGAAAAAGUGUAGUUAUCAAUUUUUCCUUAUUUGCUACAUUAGUAAUUAAGGCUGGUAGCUGAUAUAGGAAGUCUAUUCCUAGGAGAUAUUCUACUUUAGGAAGGACCCUUCUAAACUCUGUAUAUAUUAGUCUGCAGACUAAUACCGUGAAUAAUGCAUCGAGAUUAUUCUCGAAACCCUACACCUCUAAUUUUGACAUAAAGUCAUUCGGGCAACUCAUACUGGAACCUAGUGUAGCAAUAUCUCCGUUAUAUAAAACAGAGAGUAGCAGUAGUCGCUGAAAAAAAACUAAAAAAAGAGAACGGAAAUAGGACUACAUACCUGCAUUGACCUAGAUGAUGUCAUUGCAGAAGAAGGCUUUGUCGCUUGAACUAUCAUGCGAUUAGAUGAAUGAAAACCCUAAUGGUUAAACCUACCUGACGCAUUGAGGAAAUUGUGGGAGUUCAUGUCAACAGACAUUUGUUAAACUUUUUCAAAACCAGAACACUUAAAACCUUAUAAAAUCAAUCUCCUUCUGCACCCCCUUUUCCUUUGGUAGCUUUUCAUUUCUCAAGCAAUUCCAUGAGUUCCCAACAAUGCCAUUUUUUCCAAGCAUUUCCGCAGCAAAGCAGGUUCAGAUAUUCAAACAAAAAGUGGGGUUAGAGGGGAUGAUCCGUAUACCUUUAUGGUGUAUUUUUUGGACUGUUCUGUACUUCGUUGAGACAGGUAGUCAUUAGUUAUAAAUCAGUAUCAAAGGCAUCUCCUUUUAGGGUGUGUUGUUGCUGUUAAAAAGGAUUUACACCGCAUUUUCCUUGAGGUUUUGGUUGAUCUGUUGUGAUUUAUGCUCUUCAAUGUUUUCUGAGUGUAUCUUUUUUUGGGUUAUUUACAGGAGAGAGAUCCCCGUGAGGGUCCGGAUCCUCGUCUUGAUACCUGCUUGUGCUUGCUAUUGUCUGUUACAACAAUUACUGUCGCUGAAAUUAUUGAGGAGGAAGAGAGUGAACUGGUUGAUGUCACUGCAUGCUACCCCGGCAUUCAAAAGGAAGAGAAUCAGGGUCCAGUCACAUGCCGUGAAGGUCUAGUUUCCGCUUUACAAAUAUUGGGCGAUUACGAAGGACUGCUGACUCCACCCCAAUCUGUCACUCCCUUAGCAAAUCAAGCUGCUGCGAAGGCAACUGUCUUCGUCUCUGGCCUUGCUACUAAUAAUGGGUAUUAUGAAAAUGUGAGCUUGAAUGACAUGCCGAUUGAUUGUUGUAAGUAAUUAUGUCAUUGAUUUGCUUGUAAAGUGUGUUCGUCCUUUUGCAAUGAGACAGUUUUUCUUAUUUACAGUUUAACAUACCUUUUGCUUUUCUAAUCGAUGUUGGUUCUUGUUUGUUGUGUGGACUGUUGAUAUAGCUGGUAACCUGAGGCAUCUAAUUGUUGAAGCUUGCAUUGCAAGAAAUGUGUUAGACACAUCUGCGUACUUAUGGCCAGGCUAUGUUGGUGCAUGCACCAGUCAGGUCCCCAGUCAGAUGCCUGGUUGGUCAUCGCUGAUGAAAGGUUCAGCACUAACGCCUGCAAUGAUGAGCACUUUGGUUGCAACUCCAGCUUCCUGGUAUGCUCAGAAGUUCUUUUCAAAAUGCUGUUAUUGCUGCUUCAAAGAAAUAUUGACUGCAAAAAAAAUAUCAUGUUAUGUUUUUCAUUCCCCUUGUUUAGUAGAUGUUUUCACGUUCUUAAGUGAACAUGGUCCUGUACAGUAUGUUGCAAAUUAAAGCAAAGUUCUUUUUAAGCCAGGUGUUAGGAUUAGAAACAAUCCAGAACUAGAUUCCUUUUCAUGCAUAAUGAACGGUGAGUGUGUAAAUUUGCUCUAGCAUCCAAACUAUGACCUAGUCUUCAGUCACGCCAUUGUUUUUCUGAGCCCAGGUAAAUAAGAUGAUAUUUUUGUAAAUUUACAAGUGGUAUGGCAACUGAAUUUAAGCUCCUGGAUUUAAUGGAAGCUUAUCAGAAAUCGAGAAAAUCUAUGAGAUUGCGGUCAAUGGUUCCAAUGACGAGAAGAUAUCAGCUGCAAUCAUUCUUUGUGGGGCAUCUCUACUUCGUGGUUGGAACGUUCAGGUAUUGCAGAAAAAACCCAUAUAGAUUCACUAAAGAGCUGAUGCUUCUCUAUGUUCCAGGAGCUCUUAUUCAGCCUUCACAGUUAAGCACACUAUUAUUUGCUCUUGCAGGACCACACAAUACUUUUUAUCAUAAAAUUGCUGUCACCGCCAGUUCCAGCAGAUUCUACACGGAGUCAAAGCCAUCUAAUUGAUUACGCUCCAUUGCUUUAUGUUCUUCUCCUCGGAAUGUCACCGGUGGACUGUGUCCAGAUAUUAUCCUUGCAUGGCUUGGUGGGUUGGCUCUCAUUUAAUAUAUUUAUCGUCAUUCAAUCAUUUCAAUAAGUAGAAUAGGCAAACCAUGAAAAGUGGAUGGGUCAUCAUUCGGAUACUAUUAUGAUCAACUACAUAUUUUUGCAGGCUCCAUUGCUAGCAGGUGCACUGAUGCCAAUCUGUGAGGUCUUUGGAUCAAUUGCUCCAGACACCACAUGGACUCUCCCAACAGGGGAAGAAGUCUCUUGCCAUGCUCUAUUCUCAUGUGCAUUUUCGUUGCUGGUGAGAUUGUGGAGAUUCCAUUUUCCGCCUUCAGAUCAAGUAAUGGGAGAUGUUACAUCAGUGGGCUCACAAUUAAGCCCUGACUACUUAUUGAUGGUACGAAAUUCUCGGCUAGCAGCCUUUGGAACUUCACCUAGGGAUCAGAUUAGACUAAAGAGGUUCUCACAAAAGGUAAUUAUGUCGAGAGAUCCUAUAUUCAUGGACUCUUCCCCGAAACUAAAGAUCUGGUACCGGCAUCAUUUGGAAUGCAUGUCUUGUGCCUUCUCUGGCCUUGUACCCGGGACUCCUGUUCAUCAGAUUGUCGAGGCACUGCUCACAAUCAUGUUCAGAAAGAUUAACCGGAAUUCCCAGCCGGUGACUGCUACAUCUUCAGGAAGUAGUAACUCAUCUGGCCCUGCAGCUGAGGAGGCAUUAGCUAAACUUAAAGUUCCAGCUUGGGAUAUCUUAGAAGCUACUCCAUUUGCCCUUGAUGCAGCUCUUACUGCUUGUGGCCAUGGAAGGCUUUCUCCCCGUGACCUUGCUACAGGUAAUUUUCUGAUUCUUCUGAUCCCAUACUGAGAAAUGUAUAGACUACAGUGUGAAAACUUCGGUUAUCGUUUCUAGUUUAUGUCCGAGGGUGACUUGUCUUAUAACUCCUCGCAGGCCUUAAAGAUCUUGCUGAUUUUCUACCGGCAACUUUGGCCACCAUAGCGAGCUACUUUGCCGCGGAAGUUACACGGGGUAUUUGGAAGCCUGCUUGUAUGAAUGGAAGUGAUUGGCCAAGCCCUGCUGCCAAUCUGGCCUUUGUGGAACAGCAAAUAAAGAAGAUAUUAGCAGCUACCGGAGUUAAUGUGCCAAGCCUUACUGUAGGUAAUUCUUUUGUUCAGCAGCUUAUCACUGCUACUUAUCUCUUAUGGUCAGAUAUUGUGCGAAGCAAAGUGAAUUGUGACAUUCGUUUGUUGAUGACGGGUGUAGACUCGUGCUAUUCCAUUUCUUCUAGUCUGAAAUUAAGAUGACUAAAACUUUCUGGAAGCUCAUGGAGAUUAUGUUUUUGUGCAAUGUGUUGAGUUAUCGUUUUCUUUUGCAGCGGGGAGCUCUCCGGCCACACUUCCUUUACCGUUAGCCGCACUUGUAAGCCUCACAAUCACUUACAAACUAGACCAAGCAUCCGACCGCUUCCUAACUAUUGUCGGUCCUGCCUUGACUGCCCUCGGCGCCGGUUGCCCAUGGCCGUGCAUGCCCAUCAUAGCCUCUCUAUGGGUCCAGAAAGCUAAACGCUGGAGCGACUUCCUCGUUUUCCACGCCUCCCAAACCGUCUUCCACCACAACAGUGACGCUGUAGUUCAACUCUUAAAGAGCUGCUUCGCAUGCACACUAGGGCUCACUCCUCUCUACAUUUCGAGCAGCAGUGGCGUAGGUUGCCUUCUCGGCCACGGUUUCGGGUCCCACUAUUCAGGCGGGAUAAAACCGGUUGCCCCGGGGAUUCUCUACCUGAAAGUUCAUCGAGCAAUCCGGGACGUCAUGUUCAUGACCGAAGAAAUCGUCUCUCUCCUCAUGCACUCGGUUCGAGAAAUCGCCGGCAGUGGCUUACCUAGAGACGCCACAGAGAAAUUAAGAAAGACCAAGCACGGGAUGAGAUACGGGCAGCUUUCGAUAGCCAAAGCAAUGAGACGGGUGAAACUUGCAGCCACGCUCGGGGCUUCAUUAGUGUGGAUUUCGGGCGGUCUGAAUCUGGUUCAGUCCCUGAUCAAAGAAACCUUACCGUCAUGGUUCAUAUCGGAACACAGCUCCGACCAGCUAUCUAGUGACGAAUCCGUCGGCGACUUGGUCGCUACGUUGGGAGGGUAUGCUCUGGCGUAUUUUGCAGUGCUGUGCGGGACAUUUGCAUGGGGAGUCGACUCGGCGUCUCUGGCAUCUAGACGGCGUUCGAAAGUUUUGACGGCCCACUUGGAGUUUUUGGCGAGUGCCUUGGACGGCAAGGUAUCGCUGGGUUGCGACUGGAAGACAGCACAGGCUUACGUAACCGGAUUUGUGGGGCUGAUGGUGGCUUGCACGCCGAAGUGGGUGGAGGAGGUGAACGUGGAUCUGCUGAAGAGGCUGAGUAAGGGAUUGAGGCGAGGGAACGAUACGGAACUCGCUCUUUCAUUGUUGGGGUGUGGCGGAAUCGGGUCUAUGGGUGCAGCUGCUGAGCUAGUGGUGGAAUGUGGAUUGUUUAACUAGUUGAGGCAGAUAAUUCAGCUAAUCUGCGUCCUUUUGUAGGGAUAAUUUUAGGUAAUUUGGUAGUAACUGUAGGUGCUGUAAAUUAUAGGUGUCGAAAAAUGAUUGGUUCUGAAGAUAGCAUGUCUAAUUCUCCACCCUCAACAGUUCAACAGUAAACGGAUUUUUGCGCUAUUUUAUAGUGUAUAAAUUCGACAAUUAGCUCGUUUAGCAAUCAAUUCGUCAAUAAUCGGACCCCGAUUUUCAACACCACAUAUUGAAUCUAAAAGAUUCUGUGAAUUUAAGUGAUGCGUUCUUUUCGACUGUUUUGUUCGUACACUUCUUUUUCGAAACAUCGAAACGUUACUAACUUGCCAUUCCUUCUCAUAUCCACUUUGCAUAUUGAUAUACCAUAGAGUAUAGACAUUAAUAAAAAUACCAAUUUGGACUUCUCUUCUGAAAGAUACUAUUAGUAUAAUUUAAUAAGACCGCGACUAAUUCUGAAAGGAAUGAAUGCAAAAAAACAUAACGUAUAACUUUAGAUCGGAUAUCCUUAGAAAGUUGGCAUCCAAAAAACGAUUUGUGGUUUCGGUUAACCACUCGAGCCCCGAUACAUUGCCAGUGAGCUAUUAUUAAGCUGUCUCAAAGGAUGGCUGCUUGCUUCCAACAUUGUAGUUGAAAAAGGGAUGAGACUGUCAAUUUAUUUCUGAAGGGGUGACUUCUUUGUUAUUAUAAUAGACAAGUGAUUCAGUUCAACUAUUCAAUUUCCCUUCCACCGAAUCCUCUUUUUGAACAUAGCCGAGGAAGCUCCCCGCCGGCGAAAUUGGCAGGUGGCUGAAACUAAGUCAAUCUCAGGCGUAGUGUUUUCCUCACAAAUGAUACACCGCCAUUACCACCACAGAUGUAUCCCGGCGGCGAAGCUGCAACCGCUCCCAGCAACCACCUCCACUACUCCUCUGUUCUUCAGCUUCCCUCUCUUCCACUUGAAACCCUUCAACCCGCCGGGUAAACCCACCAAUCAUUUCCCGAUUUCCAAUUCUAAAGUUCUGAUCUUGGUUUCCACCUUCUUGGGUUUCUGAUACAUUUUGUUGUUGCUAAUUAUGAGUAAUAAGCAGUGUUGAUAAAGUGCGUUGCUGCUAAAAAGGAAGAAGAUAUCAUCUUAGAAGGCAUGCCUAAGGAGUAUUACGAUGAUGUAAGCUAUUGCUAAGCUGAAAUUGGUUAAAAAACACAUUACCACUUUUUGAAGCUUUUUUUUUGUUCAUAGAAGAAUGUUGUUUGUUAGGAAUGGCAAAAGCAACAGCGAGAAAAGGCUAAAGAGUUGGAAAGGCAGCGGCAGCUGGAAGAUGAAGAAGAGGAGAGGAAGAUGGAUGAGUACCGUGAAAUUGGGAACAGGCUUAAAGGGUAUCCUGAAGAAGAUGUUGUCAAAGCUAAGAAACUCAUCUCAAGCUUCAUCAGAGCUGCUGAAGAAGUGGAACAGGUGAGUAAACUGGAAGAAUUCUAUCCAUAUGCAGUUUUCUUUGACAGUUCUUCAGAGAGCAUCCGUUUGAGGGGGUGUGUUAAUGAAUAACGUAAAAAGCCAAUAUGAUCACUCUCCCAACAACUCGAAUUAUUGGGAUGUGAUGGUUCAUGACAAGGAACGAGCUUUAUGGAAAAAAGUUUAUUGCUUAAGUGGGUAGUUAAUCUUUGCCUUCAAGAUCUUGGAGACGUUGUGUUUAUCAUGUCUGAGAUUCAACUCCUUUAUUUCUUUGUGUUGUGCAACUCCCCCAUUUUUGUGUAGAAAAUUGAAGAAGCUGCUGAGAAAGGGGAGCUUAAUGAACUUGUCCUGAUGGUCAUUUGGAAUCGCCUCGAUCUUGCUCGUCGCGAUGUUAGUGGUCUAGAACGCUUUCUCGAUUCAAUAGUGAACGCUUUUUUGUUCAACCACUGAACAGGAUUUUACUAAUGAUCCAUCAGGAAGAGAAAGAUGUCAUCAGAAGUCUUGAUCUUUUGUACAGGAGAGUUGAGGUAUCAUCCAUUUAUUCUCAUCAAAGGAAAUUCUAGUCUUUUGUAUCUAACAAUCUGGACUGAACUUUGGUUCGAUUCUUAGACUGAGAUUUUGAAGCGGGAGGCUACUCCUGCAAUGCGACUUCUCAACGAUAUGCUGAAUAUGCACGACGGUUUCAACGACGAAGGAUGGCUGAAGAACUGCAAGAAGCUCAUGAUCGAUAUGUUUCCACGUGAAGAUCCAUUCACCAUUCUUGUCCCGGCAGGUUUUGAUAUCAAUGAGGUAUCUUUUCGUGUCAAAUUGUAGGAUUUUCCAGUUACAGCUAAAGUUCGAAAGAAGAUGUUUAAUUUUCUAGUUUCGGAUUUUGUGAUACAGCAUGAAGGGCCAAUACCAAUGCCUGCAGACGACGAUGAUGUUCUUUUACGGGUCGAUUUCGUGAGAGAGGUUGACGAGUUGCUGCAACAAGUGAAGGCUGAGCAAAAUGAAGGAUAUAAACCAGGAGAAAAGCUUGAUCCUGAAGCCAUAGCCAACAAACUGAAGCAGCAAGAGAAGCAACGUACAAUCCACAAGGUUGAAGCUCUGCUAGAGCUUGCUGUUAACCUCAAAUGGUAGAAACCCUUAUGGUUCCAGCUAAAACCGGUUGUGAUUUCGCCGCCUCUGAUCAGUUUCUGUUGUUGUAAUUUAGGACCAAAAGAUGAUGAUUCUAUGAUCUGUAGAGUUAGAAUCAAAUUUUGAUGCAUACAAGAAAAGCCAUAUAACUUUUUUCUGGGAAAUACUGAUGAAAUUUGCAGGCUUUCAUCUGUCAAAUUGAACUUCUCCAUUAGACAAGAUUCUGCCGGAAUAAUAUAAAAACCAAUCUUUGAACAUCUUCCAACAACUCGAGUUAUUAGAAUGCAACGAUUCUUUAUAAACAAGCAGUAUAAUAGUAAUUGCAGGCUUUCCAUCUGCCAAAUAUCCAGUUAUAACAGUAAUUGAAACUUAAACUGAUUUCUUUCAUUGAAGCUUUAAGGGGUUCAUAUACACAGCAACUGAAGAUUAAUUGCAAUCUGCCCUAGCAGUAUUUUCUUUUUCAAAACCUCACUUAUUUGCCUUAUUCCACAAGCAACCUUGAAGCCCCAUAAUUACAAAGGAAGCAAAUCAGAAGAAAUACUACUCCUUCUAGCUUCGAACAAAACACAGCUGUGAGAUCUCAUUUCAUACACAACUGAUCCUUCCAUAUCCUCAUCAGCAAUCUCUCCGGUCUCUGAGAAGAACCUUGGAUAGGGGAAAGCUGUAUCGACGAGUCGAUGCCAUUUCAUCCCUUCGGGAGCAAUAGGUAGAAUAACAUCUUCCGAUUUUCGACCUGCAUUAAACGCCAUGAAUAAAUCUCCCUUAGCAUCACCAGGCUUAUUCGUCUUCAACCCCAUCGCCAAGAAUUUGCUCGAUGGAUCGUCCCAUUUCGGUGGAGACUGGUCGUUUCCGUACCAUUCAAUAUUCUUUUCAUCCAAGAAGCUCCCUUUCUCAAGGAGGUCACUUCUUCUCGCUCUCAAUUCGCUCAAGAACGAGACGAACUCGACGGUUUGGACGCCAAACCCGGUCGAGAGUGCGUUCCAGUCGAGCGGUUUCCGAUCACUGUAACAAACCGAUCCCCCGGAAGAUUGGCCACAUUCGUCGCCCAUGUUCAGAACCGGUACGCCCAGUGAAACAAAGAGAAUGAAGAGAUAAUUCCGAAUCUGUUUAAGCCGUCUUUCGAGAACCAGAGUUUUCCCAGUAGGACCUUCUUCCCCACAGUUCCAACUGACCUCAUGAGCUAGCUUAUUAUCACUGCUAAAGCUGACCAAAUCCACUAGAGAAAGUCCGGAAUUCCGGGCAACGAAAUUGAAACCGUGAGAAGGCCCUCGUCCACUCGAAAAAACGUCUCCGCUCCCGCAAAGCCGAGUUGCAAGACAACUGAGAGGACCUUCACCCUUCAAAAAGUUUCGAACAUCGUAACAGAAUUUCGUGUUCAUUUCGGCCCAUCUCUUCCAAUGCGGAAAGCGAGUUUCUUUCUGCGCCAGCAUCUCUCCAGGAUCCCAGAAAUCUGCAAAGAUCUUGGUGUUGGACAGAACCGGUUCGAAUGCAAUUGAUUCGAUCAAAAGGGGUCGAGAUAAUGACUCCCCGUGGAAACCUCGAAGCAGCGACGAAGCAUUCAUGAAGCAAAAACCAUCAAUAUGAAACUCAGUCACCCAAUGCCUAAGACUAUCCAAUAUCAUCCUCGUUACGACAGGGUAGUUGUAAUUCAAUGAACUAUUAUCUAAAUAAUAAUAGGACGAGUCGUCAAUACCCUGCAAUGCUCGAGAUUCAGCGGUAUGGCUGAAAACAACCUCCAUGAAAACCUCUAUCCCACUGGCGUGCAAUGUCUUCACCAUCUCUUUCAUUGAGCUAAUGGCGGAUAUGGAGUCACUGGAAGACCGGGACCCGUACUGGUUCGAUGGCGAAAAGAAAUGGUAAGGGAAAUAUGGCCCUUUGUGCUCAUCAAAGGGAAAAACUGGCUCUAUCAAAACUGCAUUUACACCAAGAUCCUUAAAAUGCUUCACUUUCUCAGCCACACCAGCAAAACUCCCAGCAGCAUCAACACUAGAAAGCACACUAGAACCAUGCUGCGUAAAUCGCUUCACGUUGAGCCUGUAAACCACCAGCUUCUCUAAUGGCAAGUUAGGGCGAACAUCGCCAUUCCAGUCGAAAUCCGGCUCCUUGCAUAAUCUCCCCAGAUUACUGCCAGUAACUUUAGCAUAGGGAUCCAAAAGAACUUGAUCAGUCCCUCCUUUAUUACAUUUGAAACCGUAACUUCGAAAGCUUGACACAUCUUUGAACGAUGCAUGCCAGAUAUUACCAGUUCGGUUAACAUACGAAUCAAGAUCAAUCUCCAGAGCCGGUUUUUUCUCAGCAACACUGUACAGGCACAAAACCACCUUUUCGGCAUUCCUGGAAAAGAAUGCGAAGUUCACAGAACCAUCAGCUGAAAAGGAAAGACCUAAUGGAGCUGGAUGACCCCGACCGAAUCCAAUCGGGACACAGAAUUUCGUCUUCCUGUGACUCCUAAUUUCCAUCUCACUGGAUUUCAGAACAAACGAGAGAUAGAAAGGGGAUUGUCCCGUUUCGAAUUCCAGCUCACCUGAGAAUCCACCACCAAUUGUACUUUGCAUCAACAAAAAGGCUUCCAUCGUCGUUUCAUCUGAGCAAUCAGAUCUGUAGAUUCCCCAAACCAACGUAACAGUACAGUCACUGAUUCCCAAUUCCAACGAUGAAACUUCAACAUACACCACAUACUUAUCCUUCUUCUUGUUCUUCGAAAGGGAAACCUUCAGUGAACCACCGCCAACUUCCGUUCUAAACAGGUAAGUCGAAGAAGCUGCUUCUUUCUUCAGCUCCUCCGCUUCAAUGGACGGAGGAGGAGUGACGAUCUCUCGAAAAGAAGGCCGCGACUUAGCAUUCACUGCUCCCAAAGUAAGCUUUCUCAGUAAGACAUUCGAUCCUACACCGAUUCCUCGAAUUCCAAAUGAUCCGUUUCCAGAAAUCGCACAAUGUGAGACGUAAUUGAGCUUGGAAGACUUGAGCGGCCCGCAAAUUGACAGCGAUGGAGAGAUAGUUCUCAUAUUGAUCGGUUGUUAAACCCUAAUCAGUGCAAAUCAAAAGAUUGAAUGAUAGUGGAAGCAGACAUGGGAAACUAAAACCUCGACUGUGAAUGCAAAAUCUGCAGAUCGUUGGAGUGUCGUCGUCGCCGGCGAUGGUUGUAUUAGUGGAGAUCAUGAGAGGUUGCAUUCAGGAUUGGAGAGUGCGGUUGGGUUUUUCUCCGUUGAAGAACGGUUGGAGAGCAGGCGAGUUCAGCUCCGGAUUAUGAUAAAAGUAAACUACGGUUGACGGCGGAAGCGCAGUGAAAGUCGCACGUGGCGUUCAGAGAAUAAAAUACUGCUACGUUAAUUACAGAGAAAAUAUAGCACUGUUGGUUUGGUUAUUGGUCAAAUACUUGUCCUAUAAGUUUGGGAUAAGUUACUAAACAGUCCCUGUAACUUCAAAUUGAUAUAUAUAGAUUUAUCUCGUUUUUUUCUUAUCCAUUAUGUAGCAGUUUCGUUCUCAUUUUCUUCUUGUUCAUUAUGUAGCAGUUUCGUUCAAGAUAGAUGCUUAAUUUUCCGACAAUUUUUCAUUAUUAAACCCUCCACAUGAAAUUAAAAGUAAUUAAAUAUUAUCAUCCAUCCUAUACCCAUCCCACAUCAGCCGCUUAUUUUAGUCUCCGCCCCUCUUUAGUGCAUGAGCAUCAAAUGAUAUAUGGUGCUUGGAAUGGUUCUUUUGUACUUAUCUCUUAUUGCGUAGAGUCGUUUAUAAGGUGAAUAAUAUAAGAAUAUCUUCGUAUAAUCUGAUGUGGAGGGAUUGAUGAGGUAAAAUUGCUGGAAAACUGAACAUUCACCGUGAACAGAACUGCUACGUAACAUAGAAGGAAAAACGGGACGAAUCUAUAUCAAUUGAAACUUGAAAGUUACGAGAUUGUUUGGUAAUCGGUCCCAAACUUAUAGGACAAUUUAAGUAUUUGACUUGUUUGAUAUACUAGAUGAACUACAAAAUGUUUUUAAUUAUUGACAAAUCUAAAUAUGUAUUUGUAGAGAGUGAAUAUAAUUAUUAAGGAAAAACAAACUCAAAUGUAUAGACUUAUUAUUAUUACUACCAAGUUCUCUUUUGAGAGCGAAGUACAUUUUCGGGGAGUAAAGAUAUCGAUUAUUAUAUUAUGAUGAUCUCAAUUACAAUGAGUUGUAAAUAGUUACCGGAUUAACCUUAGUCUUUCAUUGAAACAGGCAAACUGAUAAGACCCAACUCAUUGACAAAAAUCAUAAAAUAACUCCAAAAAAUUGUAACGUCGUCAAGACUUUAUUCAGUUGCCCAUUGAUGUUCACGACAUUGAGUGGGUGUGCUUGCUAAAAAUCGGAGGAACAACUAUCUCGAACCCACAAUCUCCCGCUCCGGAGGCGAGUGCCUUAUCGAUUAGGCCACGCGACCAGCUGUAAGGUCAGGUUUGAUUUGGCUUAGUACAACCAUAGUAACCAAAUGGACAUCACUAGUAGUUACUUGUUAGGUUGGUCUUCAAAAACAUUGAACCAUUUGUCAAUAUGAGUUCAUUAUUCAAUCUGUAAAUACAAACACUCUUCUUUAUUCAGAAAUGAGCUAAUCAAUCAAUCAAAUCAUACAAAUCUUUCUCUUAUUUGGAACCAGUCCCAGAACUGACGUCCGACACAAACUUACUACUUCUCUUAGUAGCAACAAGCGGGUUAUCUUCGUCGUACUCUUCCAUCGCCAUCUCGGCGUGAUCGGCUGGAUCGUCUUUGAAAAUCGGAUGGACGUAAGCAUCCUGAAGAUACAUUCUCAGGUUCAGAUUCGGCUCCGUAGCUCUCUCCAACGUGUCCCUCACCACUGCUUCCUGCAUUUUUGGCACCGGAUCAUAACAGGUAGGUAAGUAGGGCUUUUGACGAGCCAAACUGUUCACUAGCAGCUCGAAACUAGUUAAUUCAUGACUCAACUUGAUGUUAAAUGAGUCAGGUAUGUUCGACUUGAUAGACUCGCGAGUUAGAGUUAUAUGUACUGUCUAGAAUUAACAAUUUAAAUGCUAUCAAGAGGGCAUUUGGUCUAGUGGUAUGAUUCUCGCUUUGGGUGCGAGAGGUCCGGAGUUCGAUUCUCUGAAUGCCCCGCACUUACUUUUUUAAUUUUCGAAAACUAUUUUAAAUGAGAAAUAUAUGAACUUGUAAUUUUUUUGGUAGCUUGUUAUUUUAGCCGGGCUCCUAGAUGUUCCUUUUAAUGUACAAGUUUCAAAUUAUGCUCAAAUUGGACUCAUCUGCGCGUUUCAAUGAGCGAUUUCGAGUCAAGGGUAGCUAAUGAGCUAUACUCGAAUAGUCGAAUAGGCUUGAGCUCAAGACGAGCUAAAUUUUUUUAGCUUGAGCUCGCCUAAAAAGCAAAGCGUCAAGUUUAAGUGAAGUUCGGUUCGAUGGUUCGUCAACAACGUAAGAGAAUUUGGUCUUCUUUCUUCGGCGAUCCAUUUUAUGACGGGAGAGAGAGUUGAAACAAAAACCUGUAAUGGGAAUUUGACGAAUGCAGAUUCGAAGCGGCCUUUGCAGAGCUUGUGGAACCAGAAGGUAAGAACAGGGAGAGCUACGAGACAAGGUGUCAGUUCCUCAGCUCCCUUUGUGCUCAGCAACCCCAUUAGUAGUAGCUGAGAUAUCACUAAUCCGAUUAUCAACCGUCGAUGCACGUCUGGCCAGUACGCAGCUCCACUCUCGUAUUUCUGGUCGUAGACGUUGAUGAUCUUUGACACAAUACAGGAAGCAAAAACACAUAUACGAUUAGUUGCUGCGAUAAUUCAAGAUGAUUCAAUGCACUAGAUUGGCAAGCAUGACAUUUGACUAAGGAUGCAAAACUAGAAUAAGAUAGUGUGCAAUUUAGUGGUAGUAUUCAUUAUAAACCCUCACGAUUAUCAUGAAUGAUGAUUUGAAAGCAUACCUGAUGACGGAAGAUGACAUAGGCGAAGGCGAAGAAGACAAGGAUGAAAGGGAGGAGCAUGGGAGUGACUGGAGCAUAAACAAAACCCAGCAAGAAGUAGAGCUGUAUCCUAGGCUCUGAUAUGGGGAAGCAUAUGCUACCAGGAUCCAUUGCUUCCUCUCUAUCUUGCUCCGUCUUUACCAAGAACCAGUUCUUCAAGUGGAAUAUGACUAAUGGCACCAAUCUCAGAAUUUCUGCUGCAAUUCCCGACCACCCAUCGACCAUUAUGUACGUAAUGAAGAACGUCGCUCUCAUUGGCAUCGACACACCGAUUGUCUGCGGGAUUCUGCAAAGGAAAAAAAGGAAAGAUAAGCGGAAUGCCUUAUUAAAAAAGAAGGAAGUUGAUUUUUAAACAUACUCGGAUGCAGACUGUUUCAUGAAAGAUUUGAGCUGCUCUAGAGCUGUUCCUGUGAUGAUACUGCCAAGGAAGACGUUGAUCAGAAGGAACAAGUGAUACUUGGAAGCUGCUCGCCUAUCCAACGAUGAAAGCGAGUGGUAUCCUUCGAUUUUGGCCAUGAACAUUAGUAUAGUUGGAAGUAUGAUGAGAAAUAUUUUCAAAGCGAUUCCUGGAAGAAACCCUUGGACUAUGGAUUUGACGGAUUCCCUGCAGUAGAGAAAAGUUUGUCAAUGCAUACUACUUUCAACAGAUUCUGUAUACAAAGAGACCAACCGCUUACACUUCUAUAAGAGGCUUCAAGAAAGGAAAAGCCUUCUCAAUUCCUUCAAUGGUGGCCAGGGACUGCACGAUUGCGAUGGGAAUGACGAAGAAGAAAAUCAAGAAGAACAGAGCUACUGCCAUAAGAAACCUCCGAAUAGUAUGCUCAACAUAUGGUAUUGCAAGGUUGUUCCAGUAGACAUCACGCGGCUCAGGAGCCCUUUCGGAGAGCCAUAUUGUCGGGUUGCUUGAUUGCUGAGUUUGUGCACAAACGGCAGCUGCCCAUCGUGAUCUGAAAGAAACAAAGGCUGCUGGUAUCACGGCAUUAGCAUCACUCAGAACCUUCUCUCUUUCCAUUUCUUCCUGCGUUGAAUUCAUAUAUACCAGACACCAUAUAAUAAGAAAAAGAGGAAAGAUUUGUGGUCUAUGGAAUUUGAUUCUGGUGAAAGAUCAUACACCUCUUUGGUCAACUUCUCAAUCUCGGUUUCGUAGUACUCAAUUGCAUCUACUUUUUCCCCAAUCAGACCCAUUAGGCCUGCCUAUUUCCAGAAAAAUAAGACCUUGUAUUAGAAAAGCCUUGAUAUUUUCAUUCAGGUAGAAUAUGAAAUAAAGGGUUCAUUAUUAGAAUUACCUUUGUGAUUGGCCUUUUAGAUGGAUUUCUUUCAAAUUUGUUCUGAUAAUAGGUUAACCUAUUCUUCAUGCUCUUCUUUUCUGCAACCACAUCUGCAAGCUUGUUUGCAUUGUACACUACCUAAAGUAUGAACAAUGAACCAUUUCACGUACAGAAAGACUUGUUUACAUAAUUACUCAUAUAAAUGAUGAACGAAGUUUGUGAAACAAGCGUACCUGGUGAAGGAGAUAGUGUUCUGGAUGAUUUACACAGAAGAAGUGCUCAACGUGAUCUGUCACUGAUUCAUCUGGAUCUGCGGGAACAUUUCUCACAAGAACCUACUAGAGUCAACACCAACCAGAUAAAACUCUGAGUUUGACGUAUGGAAAACAUUUUCAAAGCAGCAAAACUUGUUGAUAUAAGAAACUUACUGUGAAGUGGUCGGCACGACGAUUUUCCCCAGCCAAAAACUGCAGCCGCAUGUUAGCUACUGCCUUGUACUCAUUGUAGAUCACAUAGAAUGUCCAGAAUGUGAAGACAUAUGCCAUCACUGUAUGUGCCCAGAACCUUCAAUCAUAUUACCGAAUGCUAUUAUCAAUUGAAAAUAGUAUCUUAUCAAGUGAGACUCAUGGCAGACACUCAAAUCAUUUUUACACAAAAUAGAAACCCACUCUGCAUUACAGUGAACGGAAGGGCACGGGCAAUGAUUCAAGAGUCCAACGACACUGUCAUUGACGUUAAAUGCUACUGAUUUUAAGAACCAUAGAGCACACAUAUAACAUUGACUAAAGACCAACUGCUCUGCCACAUAGAUCAGGGUAACUUUAUCUAGUAAAUGAUGGAAACUGAUCUUAAUAUUACUUAAUCAAUAAACAAACCGUAGCCAAACACACUGAACUUAAUCAAUGGAUUUAUGGAUAAAAUGUGCAUCCCAAUCAUAUACAAGUGAGUUUUGGCUAUCCUGAACACCAGCAUAGUAUUCAGUAUUGAAUAUGCAACUUCGAGAGCACCUAUAAGUAGAUAUUUUUAACUUUUUGAAGGACUAGUGGUCAUUUCCAUAAGAUUUUUCUUGGUAAACAGCAUACCUUUUACCAAAGAAUCAACUAGAAUGUAUGUGAUGAACAAAACUUACCGUGGAGAAUUUUCUGGGUUGUUAGAUAUUGACAGCUUGUCAAUGUCACUGAAUGUCAAGUCUUUAAUCUUCUCUAGUGUCCCCCCAGUCCAAUUGACCGGGACCAAAACUGCAAAGGACAGUAAUGUUAUAGGAACAAAUAUUUUCAACCUGCAAAAAACAGACAUUCAACCCAAAGUUAUCAAGUUAUAAAUUUCAGGUGUCUGUAGCUUUUAUGAAAGUCAUGAACAUAAAUCAGGAACAAUAAGCUACCCCAUAAGGUAAAUCCGUAUAUAGACUACUGAGUCAAGUCCGGCGUGAUCAAUGAGUUCGGGUUCUGGCAUUCUCAAAGCUGCAGGCAUCCAGUUCAAAAACCGUACGUAGGUUCUAGGAUCCACAUUGAGAAACUUCUUCAUAAAACCCCCAUGGUGCGUAGGGCUACCUCUUAUCCCCUUAAGGUACCACUUCGGAAAGUAAACUCUGUCGUUUACAGGCUGAAGCCGUAGCAUUGCAAAUGCUAAAAGGAAAGCAAUAGCAGAUAGAAGAUUGAUAACUGCUGAGUAGCAAAUAUCUUCAAGUGUAGCCAUUUCUACCCUCAGAGUUCAAACGUCCACCUAGAGAACCCCAAACGUCCAGAAACAGAAUUAUGAGUAUAUCAUAUAGACCAUUGUAUCAUUCUAACCACAAUCUUUCAAUGGCGAUCAGAUUGGUCAAGCAGCGUAGCAAAAAAAAGCUUGAGUAAACAACUAUGAAAGACUUCCUCUAAAUCUAACAAACAGCAAAUUAUCCUAAAAUCUUAAUGGAAUUCAGGUGUUCAUAUCCGUCAUCUAUUUGGAAAUUUAGGGCACGAGAAUUCAACAAUUACAGUAGCCUACGUUCAAUCAUACACUGAGUACUCACCAACACAUGAACUGACAAGAUUAAAAGAAGAAGGACAGUUCCUCAAUCCGAUCAGAUCAAAUCGGAGCCGGAGGGAAAAUCUUUCAAAUCUAGACCUGAAGUUAGGCUUCGUCUGGCUUAUAAGUAAAAAAAAAUGAAGAAACAAAAGUAAUUCAAAUCAAGAUCAGCUGGCGGGGCAGGAUCGGAGUUACAGAGGAAACAAUAAUCAACUUUGUAACGCAUUGUUAUCACGGAGAAUCUCUUGACACAAUGGAAUCGCUAGCGGACUUCACAGAGAAAAUGAAAUCAUCGGAUGAUAAACGAUUUAAAAAAUUAAGCGUUCAUAACGAAGAGAAAUAAGAAAAAGCAAUACCAAGAGAUUAGUGUAGUGCCGGCGGUGGAGGAACCGGAGGUCACGGUGAAGGAGGAGAAAACAGAAACGAGAGAUUGCGAUUUGCGAUGCCAAGGUAACUUGAAAUUUUUUGAGGAGUCAGAGAUUGGAGAGAGGUUGAGGGGCUUCGGUUGUCGUUGAUUCCGAAGUGAGUACUCGUCGGCGAUGCAACGGGCGGCGGAGGCGGAGGAGGAAAGUUUGGCGCCAAGACGCGCGUGGCGAAGAGGUAGGAGGAGCCCGCUUGUGUAUAUAUUCGCGUGAGGAGUUUGUUCUUAACGGUAUACAGCUGGGCCCAGGGAAAGACCAGUAAUUUGAACUAGUAAAUUAGUUCAAAUGGUACCUCAUGUUUUGUUAUAACCUAAAAACAGUUCAGAAGUAUUGGAAAAAUCGAGUAAUUCGUAAAAUUAGCUUUUAGAAGAAAUUGAAUAAUUCAUAAAAAUAGUUCGGAAUAUCAACUCUGGAGCAUAUGGUUGUAAUUCACUCAGCGAUUCUACAUGAGCUAUUCUUCAUGUGGUUGAAACUCCCUACCCAAGUAUUUCUAAUCCUUUAGUACUUGAGCAGCUAGUUGUACGCGAUGCCCGUUUCUGAUGCAAUUGAGUUGGAUGUCAAGCAGGUGGCUACUUACCACCACCAGGGCCACGUAUUGUUCAUUCUAGUGGUUCGAUUGUUCAUGACAUCCUUUAGCUCAUGUCCCUCCGGCCCGAGGCUCCGCCUUCAAACAAUUGUUCGUUUUGCCAAUAUAGCCAUCUCAUUCUUUGACACGCCUGACUUUUAACUAUUUUUUGGCGUUUUGUAAAUAGUCCUCACCCUUUAUGUAGAGAUGUAAAGUUUACUAUUUUCUAUCUUGACGAAAAUAUUUCUAUAAAGAAACAACAAUCAAUUUUUAUUAUGUCGGAUGGUUAGCCUCAUAUAAAGUAAAUUUUCUUCUUAUAUAAAAUUUUCUUUUCUAUAUUAAAUCAAUCAUAAAUCUUGAUGUAAUUGAUUUUUUUUUCUGUUGCGAUAGAUCGAUUAAUUGAAACUUACACUUAAUCAUUGUUAUAUAUAAUUGAUGUGUGAGUUUCAACAAAUUGCAAGUAGAAAAUCAUGAUGUUCAACCUAUUCACAAAUAUAUAUUUUGGAAGAUAAAAUUUGAGUUCUUUAUCAUUCAAAUAGUAUAGUGAAUUUAUCAAAUAACUGGUAUACCGAAGUUUAUAAAAAACAUCCUGAGUGAGUUUCGAGCAAAUUAUGAUAAUUGAUUGAUCGCAUUAGUAAGCAUAGGUUACUUAACUUGUCACAAAUGUCUUCAUCUUAUCUAAAAAAAUUUCAAUGAAUAUAUUUUCUAGUUUUAAGUAUUAUUACAUUUCCACAAGUUUGUUCUGUUGUUAGUGAAGGUCUUAUUUUGAUGAACUAUAAGUUGUCUUAUUUGGCGGUAAAAACCAUGACCCAUUUUCCACGGUGAUGCUAUAAUUUAACCGUGUUUGUCGUUAUCGAAAUUAUGGUAAAUUUGCUUAAUUAUGGUAAAUUAUAAGAGUUCUUUUAAAUUGUGUCGUGGAGCUUCACCACCAAUAUCAUUGCCGCAACACAUCCCUACCUUACACUACAGUUUAUAGUUGUCAACAUCGCCAUCAUCGUCAACGUCGUCAUCAUUACUGUUGUAUAUAUCGCUUAUCAUUGUCGUUGUUACACUCAUACCCUCUUCCAAGAAAUAUGAUCAGGACAUCAUCCAUGUGUCACCAAUCAGGGGCGUUCGGUCCGAUUCUCUGAAUUUGAAAGUUGGAGCAGUUAAGAUCCUAACCUCUCUUAGCAAGUCAAAUAGGGGUGUUGCUACCUGCAUUUAAGUUUGCUAAGUUUUUUCUUUAGUUUUAUUUCUAACUUCACCUUUUUCUUUGUUUUCAGUUUGUGUUUGUGUUGUUGAUGAUUGUUAAAUCCCAAUUAAAUUAUCCGUUUGUUGAAUAAGAAGAAUUGAGGUGUUUGCUAUUAUAAGGAUCCUCGAUCCAUGCUAACAUUAUUGAUGAAAACUGCACGUCUUAUGUUGCUAUAACUUGAUAAGAAAUAUAAUGAGACGAUUUUAUAAAAAGAAAAUUGUGUUGUGGAGUUGGUCCAUUAAGAAAAUGUGAUAGCUUUGCAGACUCGGACAACGUUAAGCCCAACUCAUCGGGAUAAAACCCAUUAAGAAAAUGUAAGGGCUCAAUUCGAAUUCAAGUAUAAAAAACGUGACAUGUGGUAAAUUCUUUGGGUUCCAACAUAGUUUACAAAAUCACAUCACUCUAUUCAAUAAUCGUUUAAUUAAACCGUUAUAAAUAAUAUUCGAACUGUGAUUAAAUUGAAAUCGAAUCGAUUUGUUUUGAUGUGCGAUUAAAGAUUCAACUGUUACAACCAUUAGCGCUGAUACGAUUAUUCUACUCAUCUUUACAAUUUCAAGAGCUUUCAGAAAAAUUUGAGUCAACGAAACCAAUCCACCCUUUGGAAUUCGCCCGGUGAAAACACCCUUAAAUCUGUCCGCUCAUUGCAAACAUCUUGCACUCUCUGCCCAUAUUUGGUUGUGUUGGUUGGUCGGACGUCAAGUGGGCAUCAACGGAUUAUUAUAUAUUUUUAAUAGUUUUUACAUGUUUAUAUAUGCAAGGGUGGACCGAAUAUUGAGUUAAAUUUUUUUUAUGUACGACCAAGCAUGUAAAUAACAAACGAAUAUUGAAAACAAGGAUUCUAAUUUUGGUCCAUCAUUCACUCUCAAGUCUCACCGAAACGACCAAUCGACAACAAAGUCAUACUACCAAACAGAAAAUACAAAACAAAAAUAUCUCCAACGGUAUAUAAAUAAUGACGUCAGCACACAGCAGAUAUAUAUCUCCACAAACCGCCAAAAACCAAAAGGAGAGAGAAAGUUAGUUGCGGGACCACCUCGAUCCCUUCGCCGUUACGUCUCCCCUCGUCGAGCUAAGCUAUCUAGUGCUCCCGUUCUCCACUGUCUGGUCGCAAUCCCCGCCGCGUUCGCUGUCAUCCCCGCCGCCUCCGUCUUCCAGACUGUCAUCCCCGCCGUCUCCGUCUUCCAGAUCCGAUACAGCUCCCUCUUCAUCAGAGGACAGCGGUACCAGCCAGCACAUCCCGUGGAGGUGCCCGUUGACGCAUACGAAAUACUCCACCCCGCCGUCCUGAGAGGCGCCGAGCCUCUUCGCCGCGCUCCUCGGUACAAGCCUCGCCGCCGUCAUGCUCCAAACCCUGGCGCCGCAGUACGGACACCUCACCUUCUCCUCCAGCCUGGCCUGCCUCCUGAUCAGGCACGCCCGAGUCUUCGACCUCAUAAAUCCCCGAAAUACCCCUCUGUACACCCCAAAAUCGUCCUCCUCCUCCCCCAUCGAAUGCUCGCACGGGUCGCUCACGUACAGCAGGUCCCCCCUGCAGUUCUUCGCCAGGAAGCUCCGUCCGGAUGUCUUCGAGAAUCGAGACGCCUGCGCCAGGUGUCCGGGCGACGGGCGGUUCACCGGUUUGAAGCUCCCAUUGCUGAGCUGGUGGCUGCAUCCGCAGCAGAAGAACAUCAGUUUAGCUAGCGCGUGCCAUCCUCCGUCGAUUCUCCCGCCCCCGUUGAGAGAUCCGCCGUUGGAAAGCUCGGACAGCAUCUUCGGAGCGCGGUACACGCAUAGCUCCCGCCACAGCAGCCGCUUCGCCACCGCCUGGAGCUUCCUGUUCACCGCCGCCGUCGCGCAGAGCGUCGGGAGGUCCCACUUUAUUGACUCGAAUACAAGGACUAGAAUCCGCUCGUUCAAAAUCCUGGAGGCUGACGAGUCAGAUCCGGCAGCAUGACUCAGUGGCUUAACUCGCUUGUUCUGAUUAUUGUUCAUCAUUUUGAUUGGACGGAGGAGGAAGUGGAGGAGGAGAGGAGGAAAACGGUCAGCGUACGAUUUUUCCGGGAGUAAAGGAGCCUUUUAUAUGCGGUUUCGAGAGUGGACACGUGUCUAAAUCUGAAUGGCUGUCGUUUACUGGCGUGGAUCCAUAGAGAACAGUUAAGGCCACGUGGUUGGGGAGGAUUGGGAAGAGGAGGACGCGUGUGCAGGUGGGAUUGCGGCAGAUGCCGUAAUUGAAUAAAAAAGUAAAAGAAAUGGACGGGAAGAUAAUUUGGCAGUACGUGGGGUGGGAGCCGUUGUAUUGUUGUAAGGAGGACACGUGGGUGGUGGAUGGGGAAGUAGGGAAAUAUAUUUUUCAGGGAAAAUAUCUAAUAUAAGACUUUACUACAUGUCAGCAUUGGGUGGUGUGUUGGCAAAUGUGUGCAUUAUCCAAGAAAAUAUCUUGAAUUAUUAAAUUGGCUAAUUCCCCGCUUUUUCUGUUUGAGAAUCUUUUCCUCCGUUGCCACGUGUAGUGGGAUGCCAACCAUUAAGGUGGUGAAACGUGGCGCAUUUGUGUGCGUUACUAAUUCGGUUGCUCAAUUAUUUAUAAUUGACUGUGAUUACAAAAUAAAGUGACUCAUAUAUCGCUUUGUGCAAAUAUUCGUGGUGAAGGAGUUCAUUAUUAUUGUCUGUAAUAAACAUAUUAAUUACAUCAAAGUGACUUGUAUAUAACUUAUGAAGUGCCAUUAUAUAUAUAUGUAGAAAUAAAAAAUGUUAAAAACAUAUUCAUAUAAAUUACUUGCUGCAAUCGAUCCUAGGAUCAAUAGGAACAUGAAUAACAUGACAUAAGUCAAGAAGACCUUUGACAAUAACCGAAUCCACGUGGUAGGCAAUGGCCGCAGAUUUGAAGCAAGUGCACAGUUGUUGGCAAGUGCCUCGUCGUUCAAUACUUUUACAUUUGAGCAGCACUGAAGAGCGGAGAAGGUGUGUUGUUUUGUGAUGUAUGCCAAGCAUGAUAAUAACUGCAACAAUGCACUUGGGCAAGUCACUACUUGUGCGACCACACUUGUUGCGUGACCCAUAACUAUCAAUGUCAACAUCAACAUUGUUACCGUACCAGUGGUGUUAUUCACUUUCUUCAUUACGAUCACGUUGAGUUUUCACUCAAAUUUCGCAAGGAGAUAGAAAUGCAGGAUUCUUUUAAUUCAAGUGUGUUAAGACAAUGACAAGUACACGAUGGCCAUGGCACACUUCUCCUUUUUUUAUAAGGAUGAAUGUUUACUGCUUGUGCAUUAUUGCUGGAUUUUCAUCUAUGAUUUAUGAGACAAUCUUCUUUUCCUCUCCAUUAUUGGAUUGUCGGGGUCGCCUAGGUCAAGCAGAUUCUUUGAAGAACUGGCUCCGGAUCAAGCAGAUCAUCUUACCAGAGGGGUUUUCCAGCAGUUUCCUAUCUGCUCUGAGGCAGCCUUUGUUCCAAGAGAUCUGCUAAGCAUGGCAUGAACAGGAGUUUGGGUUUGAUCAUCCAAUGGGUUGGCUAAACAAUUUCAAUCCUGCUACUUGAAGAUUAGAAAUUCCAUAAAAAAGGAUGGAAAAAUAUGUGCAUGAUUUCUCUCAGACAAAUGCCUCGAUUGUCGUCAAGUGUAUUUUGAAUGGAUAGUCGGACUCGUCAUCUGUUUAUAUCAUCAUCGAGAAAUCACACACAAAAUUGGCCCAUACAGGUCUCGAACCUGUGACCUUCGCGUUAUUAGCACGACGCUCUAACCAGCUGAGCUAAUAGGCCUUGAUAUGUGAAGUUCUGCUGAACUCUUUAUAUAGUAAGGUAAUCACUAAUCAGUCACUUCCAACAAGAGAAUUCAACAUCACAUAUUAGGUUGUGAACUUGUGAUAUGUUGUUGUGAUGGUAACCGUGGAAUCAUUUUAAAUUUUAAGAAUACAAAUUUUUUUCGUCGUUUGUUCCAUAAUGUACAUCGAGCUAUUAAUUAUUCGGCGAUUUUAAAAAAUCUUUAGUAUUAUGUUGUUUACUUUUAGUUAUGUUUAGUGUUCAAUUUUUUAUAAUAUUUAUGACUCUUUGUAUAGUACAAACAAGCAUUUUCUUAGCCGAUUUUCUAACUCCGCUAAUCAACUCAGUUUCUAAUUCUACAACAGUGACGGAUAAACAGCAAUUUAACUUCCCCAAUACGUACUCAGACUAGGCAAUACAUACAUGUUACUACUUAUACUUUUGAAAUUUGUCACUUAAGGCAUCUCAUGACAGCCUUGAGGGAAGCCAACUCCUUCUCCUCAUCUUCAAUCGACUUCCUCAGCAAUACCUCGCUCUUCUCCAUUAACUUCUUCCAGCAUUCUUCAUCAGUGGCAGACGGUUUCGAAUCAUCAUCUGUCGUAGCAGGUUUCGAGUCCUCAUUCACAGGACAUAAUGAACGCCGGCAACAAAGAAGCCAUGGAUAUAUCCCCUUGAAAUCAUACGAAAAUGGUUGGUGUCCAAAGUUAACUUUCACCCUGCCAAACCCAAAUCACAAUAUAAAUUACAAUUACAGUACUAGCUAUCCACAAACAAAUGUGUUAAGAUCAGAUAAUAACAAAUGGGUUGGAUUUGCAAGAUACUGGCUAGGUUUCUGCUGUUAAAUAUACAGUUAAUGUUUGGGUGUCAAGUUGCUCCUUGAGUUACACACAAAUUAAAGAGGAUUAUUUACCAGUACACUGAACAGUGAACACUUUGGUUAAUUAAAAAUGGGGUCUUUUAAUAGAUAUUGGGGUCAAUAGAAACAAGGAACAUUGACGUGGCAUAAAUUAGGAAGACCCUUGGCAACAGUCGGAUCCACAUGAUAGACAAUGGCCGCAGAUUUGAAGCAGUGUUGGCCUCACUGUUCAAUUGUUUCACACUUGAGCAACACUGAGGAGAUGGUGAUGGGGUUUGUUUUGUGAGGUAUGUCAAGCAAGGUAGCAACUGCAACAAUGCACUCGGACAUGUUAAGGGUUGUUGUGCGACCACGCUCGUUGUUGAACCCGUAAUUAUCAACGCCAACGUUAACAUCGAUGCAACGAUAUCCAAGUUACUCACUCUCUUCAUUCUUAUCACACUCUGUUCUGUAAAGGAAGAAAGAGAUGGACUAGCAAGUUCUUUUUUACUGUUAUUUGCUUAAGAUUUGUGAGAAACAUGAAGUCUAGAUUAUUCAUGUUAUGAAUCAAGAGAUCUAUUUCUUUUUUUGAAAAAAAAUACUUAUCUGGUAAACAAUUAAAUAUGUUUCUAAGUUUGAUAAAAUUAAUAAAACUGCGAUAUAGCAUGGUUUCUGCACAGGGAUGACGCAUCAAAUAUGCUUCUAAGUUAUAUGUGAUUUGCAUAUAUCUCACAAUCUUUCUUAAUGUGCAUGUUUUGAAGGCAUUUUGGAUAACAUGCCAGAUAAGGGAAUCACAAAUAUGGAGAUCCAUAGCUGGAAUUCGAGGUUAAAAACGUAUUUUUACAUGUAUCGAAACGAAACGUUACUAAAUCAAAUUUAACUGCAUUGAGAAAUAUAUACCCAGUUGCCAGUUCCAAAUUGUUAUUAAAAUUUGGCUUGGGAAUUCGACUUCAGGUACAACUUUCAUCAGUUGUAAUGUUUAUUUCUUUCUAUAUUGUGUACUCUAUCGACUAUCAUACAUGUUUAAGGUUUGAUUUCAUAUAUAAUUUCUGUUUAAUGAUCUCUACUAAAGUGGAUUUUAGACAGUUCUGAUAUUAAAUAGAAUUUCACUUACCAAAACAAUAUGUUGGAAAAAAGUACAAAAAUGAUAAUUUUUGAAUUGAUGAGGCGGAAAAGCACCUAUUUUCGACUCAAGUAUUGCUCGAUUAUAAUUCUUAUUGGCCGAAAAUUAAGCUCGACUCAGGUGAUGCUCAAUUUUACGAGACAUAUCGGAGCUUACUUCAUUAGUCCCUUCGAGUUCCGAAUGAAACUAAAUAGCUAUACUAGUACUAGUACUUAAUUACACACUUGAAAUUUCACAACGGCAAAAUGGGUUUCGGUGAAAAGAGUACAAGAACAGCAUCAGUCAUAAUAGUAUUAUCAAUCCUUGUCCUGCUCGGAUUUGGUCAGGACACCUACAACGUCGUCUUUUGUGGAACACUGCAAAGGGGCUGGAAACCACUCCAUUUGUAUCGGCCAGACGUUUUCGAGCAGUGACCCGGCUAGUGGGGAUCUUCGGGCUGGUACCGGAAAGCUUGGUGAACACAAUGCGGUGACAGUGCCUUGGUGGUCGGGCCCCACGGUAAGGAUCAAGACUCCUCCGAAACAUUCUCUAGUUUACGCGCUUGCCAACUGCGCACGCACCAAGACUAACUUUUUCUUACACGGGAGAGUCGCGUUACGAGUGUUUGAGGAAGGCUAAACGAGCACCGCGUAAGACCUGCCCUCAUCGAGUGGGGGGUCAGUACAUGUGUGACAUUUGAUAUUUGAGGUACGAGGUUUAUGACUUCAUCGGGCAUCGAUGUAAUAACCAAUGGUCGACUAAAAUUGUAUCGGAUGAUCGAGCCCGUUUAUUUAUUUAUACAUGAAAUUAUUAAAAAGGAACCAUUGAUUCCAAACAUCCAUUUAGCAAAAUCACUUAAAAGUGAAAAUGAAGAGGUUCCGAAAUAUCAGCAACUUUGAAAUCAUUGUCUACACAAAUCCGAACACAGUUUUUAUUUGUAGUGUAAGUUUGAGAUACAGAAUUUAUGGAAAAAGUAAAUAAGUAGCGAUAUAGAACUAUGCGAUGCCUCUUUCAUCUCUUUAUUUUUAUGAGACUUCACUUCAAAUUUUAUCCACGAUUUCCUUAUAAUUAGACUGAAAUCCUGUAAAACACACACACACACACGAGGAAGGCAGAAUUCACCAUCAUGAAAUAUUAAUAUAUCAAGCAAAAUAAAAAUUGUUCUAAAACAGCACACAAAGAAGAUAUAAUGACUUACUUGCUGCAAUCGAUCGUGGGGUCGAUGGGGACGGGGACAUUAACAUGGCAUAAAUCAGGAAGAACCUUGACAACUGGUGGAUCCACGUGAUAGGCAAUGGCCGCCGACUUGAAGCAAGUGCAUAGCUGUUGGCGGAUAAGAGUGGUGCUGGCCUCGUCGUUCAAUAGUUUUACGUUUGAGCAGCACUGAGGAGAUGGAGAAGGUGUUUGCUUUGUGAUGUAUGUCAAGCACGGUAGCAACUUCAACAAUGCGCUCGAACAUAUUGCCGGUUGUUGUGCAGUUACGCUAGUCGUUGAGCCCGUAACGAUCAAAGCCAACAUCAAAACUGAUGCAACGGCAUUCAUGUUGUUCACUCCCUUCAUUUUUGUCACACCGGCUCUCUGACUCUCUCUGUAGAAAGAUGGAUUUCCAAUACUAUUUGUUCGAGUUUGAUGAGAAGCAUGAAUGGGGGUUUUCCUUUUUAUAGGGAUCCAUAGCUAUUGUGGUGUUUAUAGUUAUAAAUCAGAAUCUGAAACAUAUUUAAUGGACAAUAUUUUAUAUUGUGCAUGUACUGAAGGUAUUUCGGAUAAAAUUGAACGUUUUCAUGAAUUGUUCAUAUUUAUUCAUUGCACAUAAUCUACCAAAUUCUUGGCACCAAAUUAAUUCAAUAUAUAUGUCUAAUUGCAUGUGAUCUUAACCCAAAAUAUCUCCAACCUAAUUAACUAAUGGGAUUGUUGUAUAACACCCUACAUUUUACUGUAAAACAUCCUAACAUUGUCGGAACAUUUGAAUUUGAUAGCUGAAGUGACCUAAACGCCCUUGCAACAGUAAAAUCAAAAGUGACCAACCACUGUUCCGUCGCCGCCGCCACCGCCCGCCAAUAAGGUAACAAAAACAAAUUAAAUGAACGAUCGGCAUGCCAGCCGCCCACAAAACAGCCGGCAUUCGACGACGACCGUAUUGAACGCCCCGCGGCCGUGGGAGGCGGGCGGGGGUGGGCUGUGGGGUGUCUUGAUUGUUUUUUAUUUAUUUUUCACUAUAUUUUUUUUUUUUUGUUUUUAAUUUUUAGUGUUUUGAGUUAGUGGUAUUUAGUCUAGUAAAUUAGUAAUUAAAUAUAUGCGAUAAUUAAAUAUUUAUUUAUUUAAAUUUUGGAAAUUAUUAAUUAGUCAUGCUAAUUAAGAUUAAUUAGUAAAUAUAAGUAUCAAUUAAUUUGAUAAUUAUAGACUUGGUAAUCAAAUAUUUAUUGAAUUAAUACUUGAAAAUUAAUAAUUAGUUAUGAUGAUUUAGGUUACUUAAUAUAUAUACUAUCAAGUAAUUUGGAAUUACAUAUGUGGUAAUAAACCCUAAUAUUUAUAAAUUCACUUUAAUUAUUAAUAUUCACAAAUUCACCUAAACUCUAACAUGAUUAAUUACUAACUUUUAAAUAUUCAAUUAUCAAAUAUUUAAUAAAACAAUUUUUACUAUCAUUAGUUAUAUUUACUAAUUCACUUUAAUUAGCAUUACUAAACCCUAAUUUUCAAAAAUUAAUUAAAAGUAAGAACCUANNNNNNNNNNNNNNNNNNNNNNNNNNNNNNNNNNNNNNNNNNNNNNNNNNNNNNNNNNNNNNNNNNNNNNNNNNNNNNNNNNNNNNNNNNNNNNNNNNNNNNNNNNNNNNNNNNNNNNNNNNNNNNNNNNNNNNNNAUAAUAGCUAACAAAUAGAAUACCCUAUCAUGAGACAUGCAUGAAAUAUAUUGCAUGGAACAUGCAUGUAAAUGGAGUGGAAUUUAGGGUUGAGGGUGUAGCAGUGUAAAUGAAGAAACCCUAACCGCUAAACCCUAUUUCUAAAUUCUAAACCCUAAAUCCUAUUUUUAAAUUAAAAAUCCUAAAUCAUGUUUCUAAAUUCUAAAUCCUAAAUCCUAAACCGCCAAACCCUAAACCCUAAAUCUUAUUUAUCACUAUUAUUACUCAAAUUAACCAAGUAUGUAAUUAUCAAAUUAAUCGUUACUAUCUUUACUAAUAUUUAUUAAUUAACCUUAAUUACCAUGACUAAUUACUAAUUUUGAAGAAUUAAUCAAUUAAUUGUUCACCUAUUUAAUUACUAAUUCACGAAACUAAUCUAACACCUAAUGACAUUUAAAUACACUAAACUAAAUCUAAACCCUAAUUACAUUUAAAUAAUAAAAAUAUAAUAACUUUUUUUAAAAAAAAUAGGACGGUCGGCGUGCCGAUGCUCCAAAUUUUUUUUGUACCUCGUCGGCGGGCGGUGUGCGCUUGGCGGCGGGAUCGUGCGGUGACGACGAAUGAUUUUAAAGAUGUGUAUUUAAAGAUUAGGUUUGAGGGGCAUUUCCGUAGUUUAACUCGUUGAAUUUAAAUGAUAUGGCGUUGAGUAGUAAAACUAAGGCGUCUUAUAGCAAUUCAGUUAACUAAUUAAAUAUGUCCAGAUAUGUAAUGUACCAGUUAAGGGAAGCACACAUAUCUAGUACCAAACAUGGAGAUAUAACUACAAAAAAUUCAUGGCGAAAAGGUUCUUUUACAUGUAUCAAAUCGAAUCGAAACGUAACUAAAUCAGGCUUAACCGCAUCAAAAAUCAUAUUUUGUUCGACUUGCAAUUUGUAAGCUUCAAAUUUGGGUUAUGAUUCAGUUUAAAAGGCAUGAUUCGGAGAUUGAAAAGUUAAAUCAAUGUUCGAAUCCAAAUGCCUAAUCGAUUGAUGCUUGAUAUUUUCAUUUUUACUGAAAGAGUGUAGUUACUCAUAAUCUUACAUCAUAGGAGUCCGGACAGGCGGCAAAUAAAUUUCAGGAGGGUAGUUUUGUCAUCCAAAAUUUUAAAUUGAAAUUUUAAAUUGAAAACUCAAUAUUCUAAACCUUAAAUUUAAAAAUUUAAAAUCUAAAAUCGAAAUCUAAAAUCUAAAAUCUAAAAUCGAAAUCUAAAAUCUAAAAUCUAAAAUCGAAAUCUAAAAUCUAAAAUCUAAAAUCGAAAUCUAAAAUCUAAAAUCGAAAUCUAAAAUACCUCAUACUUUAAGUUUGUUUUUUACCGUCAGAUCUAACGUCCGAAAUGA
This 57637-nucleotide long non-coding RNA is filed under the name Linum usitatissimum (flax). RNAcentral's name for it is "long non-coding RNA (LUSI_LNC003016)". The stretch from base 41352 to 41423 matches the Rfam family "tRNA". The record is from RNAcentral. Lineage: Eukaryota; Viridiplantae; Streptophyta; Magnoliopsida; Malpighiales; Linaceae.